CUAGAUUAGUUUAACAUGUGAAAUGUCCGUAAAGUAUCAUCACAUGAUUGGCUUUAGGGCACAUUUCCAACAAUAAGUGCCCUUAAUUGAUCGAGAACGGAGGGUGGGAAUCUACCAAUGCCGUGGGUUUUGGGAGUCAAAACCAACCAAGGAAUGAUCCGUUCUCGAAUACAUACAAUCCAGGCUGGAAAAGAUCAUCCAAAUUUCAAAUGGAGGGACCCCCAACAAACCCAACAACAAAGUGCAUUCAGACAGCAACCUCCGGGCUUCUAUCAAAGGCCGUAUACACCCGCACAACCCCAAACACAACCUGCCCAAAAUAACUCAGGUUCGUCUUUUGAUAAUGCUCAAGUUAUUCAGUUACUAACUACGUUGGCGAAGGGUCAGGAAAAUCAAACCAAAGAUAUGCAUAAUUACGCCAAUGAAGUGCAAAAUCAAGCUUGAGAGGUGACUGAAUUGAAGAGACAAAUGGGAUAAAUGGAUGAGUUCAUAGGGCAAUUUAGUAGAGAACAACGUAAGUUACCUAGUUCGACAGAUGUGAAUCCAAAGGGAGGCUUCGAAUCUGCCAAAACCAUCACCUUGCGAAGUGGAAAAGAAGUUGGAUCUGAUCCCAGCCCAUCUAAAUCCAUUCAAAAGGAGGACGAAAAGAUGCAAUCUGAGGGGAAUGAACAAGGCCUGCCCUCGGCAAGGAUUGAGCAAUCUUUGCCGUAGCCACAUACACACCCUAAUUCGACCACCAACGGUAAGUUGGAUUCAAAUUCCAUGACUUUUAAUUCCAUUCCACCCAAUGCACCCUUUCCUCGCAGGUUUAUGCAAUCAAAGAAGGAUGAGAGUGACAAAGACAUCUUUGACACAUUCAGAAAGGUGCAAGUCAACAUUCCACUUCUAAAUGCAAUUAAAUAAGUCCCCAAGUAUGCUAAGUUCCUGAAAGAGAUGUGCACUAAAGGGAAGAGGGCUUCGAACAAAAAGGUGGUAAGGGUAAGUGAGAAUGUCUCAGCUGUGUUGCAAUGAAAAUUGCCUCCUAAGUGCAAAGAUCCCGACAGUUUUACAAUUCCUUGUGUUAUAGGAAAUACUCGCUUUGAAUCUGCCAUGAUAGAUCUAGGUGCAUCAAUAAAUGUCAUGCCUUAUUCAAUAUAUGCAUCUAUGAACUUGGGAGAAUUAAAAAAUGAUGGAGUGAUCAUUCAAUUGGCCGAUAGAUCUAAUGUGUAUCCAAAAGGUGUUUUGGAGGAUGUUUUAGUGCAGGUGAAUCACCUAGUCUUUCCUGCGGACUUCUACGUGCUUGAAAUGGAAGAUUCGAACCAUUCCCCUCAAUUACCAAUAUUACUUGGCCGACCAUUCAUGAAGACUACCCGUACAAAGAUAGAUGUAUUCAAGGGAACAUUGACCAUGGAAUUUGAUGGGGAAGUUAUUGAUUUCAAUAUUUCUGAUGCUAUAUCCUCAUGAUGGUCACUCUUGUUUCUCUAUUGAUGUGAUUGACUCUUUGGCGCAGGAAUUCCUUAAUGAUUUGAGUGAUGAUGCACUUGAAAAAGACUCUCAUGCAAAGCAUUGGACUAAAAAACGAAGGGUUAGCACUUAGGCAUGCACACGGCAACAACAAGGAACACUUUGCCGUGCCUAUUCAAGAAGAAUUGGAGGAGAUGGUUGAUGCGAGAAUUACUUGACACACAAAUUAAACCCUCUUUUUGACAGUUGUAGUAUAGUUGUAAGUAGGGUAUCGUUCUAGGCCGGGGAUUAGGAGGGAUUGCUAAUCUAUUCUAAAUUAAUUUAAAAAUAUUAAAUAAGACUCAAGGACACAAAACUAGGCGAAAAACUCUAAUAACUCGAAACACACUUAAAAUGACUCAAAAUAAUGAAAACAAUUAAAUUAAACACUAGGAACUGAAAUGGACGGAAAUUAAAUUAAAAGACUAACAAUAAAGAAAACUAACUAAAUAAUAUAAUUUAAUAAUGGAUGGGUGUUUGGUUUUGAUGAAAAGUAAAUUAAACUUAAUUAAAUUACAGAAUUGACAAAAACAUGAAAUUAAGAUGAAAAGAUAGGUGACAGACUAGCUAGAGGGUUCUUCUCCACACAUGACACAUAUGCAACCUAAAUUGAUUUUUCGGUUGUUCUUUCAAUAAAUUGUAAAUCUCAACGCCCCAAAUUAACCGUGAAUUGCACUAAUUAACCCUUAAUUUUUCCACAAGUUAUUGGGUUGGAUGAUUGCAUACGACAACCCAAAACAUUCCCUACAAGUUCCCUACAUGAAUUGCAUAAUAGAGAUACAAGCAAGAAUCAUUAAGCUCUAUGAAAAACAUAAGCAUUGACGAGGCACUCGUUACUAUGAUUUGCAUGAAACUUAUGCCAAGAAUUCACUUAACGUGAUUGUGACUAGCAACCUUCACUACUUGUGAAUAAGUUCAUAACGAUUAGGUGAAAUUCACUUAUAUUCUAGCAUCAAAUUCAUGCAUGUAAAUUAAGUAUGCAUCUUUAAUCGACAUACAAAAAUAAGUUAUCAAUCAAACAGUUAAGCAAAUUAAAUCACAACUCAGAAAUCACAACUGAAGGUAAUCAAUUCAUAUUACAAAUAUAUUCAUGGCUUUGAAUUAACCUCUAGCCAAAAUAAAAUUAGUUACACAUUAUUAAAACAGAAAUAAAAUAGAAGUUUGGAAAGAUUAAACCGAAAGAAGGUGAUCUGUUGCGUUCGUGCCCGUGUGAACUGCGCCUCGCUGGCGCCCUCUCCUUUCCUGCAGCUUUCCCGUGUCUUAUCCAGCUCAUCCUGCCCUUCCACCUGCCCGCUGCUGUCAGUCCUUCUCUUCAGUUCACGCUGCCAAAUGGCAGCUUCCCCCCGCGUCACACUGCCUUGCGUCCCUGCUGACCUUCUCUCCUUCCUGCGUCUCUGCGAGCUGCCCAAAGGGCAGCCCCUUUCUCCUUCCCGCUUCUGUCUCUCUAACCUCGCUGCCAAAGUUGCCAAAUGGCAGCUUUCCUCUUUUCUUUCUCUCCUGCCCCGCGUGUUCUCUUCUUUCCGUCUCUGCGAGCUGCCCAAAGGGCAGCCCCUUUCUCCCGCUCCCCCCUGACCUCCUUUUCCGUUAUUUUCCAUCCCUCUUAAAUUUCUCACGUCUCAUGUCUGCCUUCUUCUCACCCACCUAACUCUGUCCACUUCCUCUUAUUUCUUUUCCGCACCUGGCUCCUCACGUCACUCCUCUUUGCUUCAUUUUUUUAUUUUCUCCACUAUCUCAUGUUUCCUGCUUUAUUUUCUUAUUCUUUCCACCAAUCCAUGCGCAUUCCAUUUCUAUUUAUUUUCUUUUGUUUUUCACUCAAUGCUCACCCAUUGUCUCUCCACUCCCUCUACUGGUAAAGGCAGCUUUUUAUUCAUUUUUCUUCUUCUUUGCCGUUCCUUUCUUCUUCUACAAAACAUGAAUCAUGAUGAUGUUUCAAACAUCAUCAUGACUUAUCAUUAUUAUUUUAUUUAAAAGCUGAUCUACACAGACAGUUUUGACGAAUUUAUUACAUAAAAUUUCACUUGAUCUAUUUUUAUUUUCUUUGCUAGACAAAUCCUAUAAUAUGCAAAAACAAAGUAAAUAGCUCAAAAAUAUAAGGAACUAACUAAGAAAAGACGAGUGAAUUCGAAGUAAAAAUAUAUAUAAAUAUGAUCCAAUCAAAUACCCCCACACUUAACUUUUGCUAGUCCUCGAGCAAAACAAAGAAAACAAGAACAAGAAGUAACAAGAAAAACAUUAGAUUCCCUCUAUGUGACCCUCAUAGAAUUUCAUUCAAGAAAACAAAUCAUCAAGAACCAUAGCUAGCAUCAAGGAACUAAUCCAAGUUCAUCUUCCUAAUUCAAAUAUUAGUAGUAAUCUUUAAAUCAUCCUUGAAGUGUAGUGUGUGAGAUAGCCAUGCUAAUGCAAUUUCAAGUUUUUAUUUUUAAAAUCAUCAUAUGCAAACUAGCAAUCUUGUCACGGGAUAUACACUCAAUCACACAUGUGUUUAGUUUUAAUGUGUUUCGCUCAAAGAAACAAAUGUGAAAUUUCUACCAUAAGCUUGCAUAAAGAUCACUUCUCCACAGUCAUAAUUGCAAAACUUAAAUCAAGAGGACUUUUAUUGGAUGUAAUGAGGCUUAGGGAUAGGAUUAUUGAAACGAAAGAAUAGGAAAACACAAGUUCCAAGCUACAUUGCAAGCAAUUCUUUUGUUUAGAUUUAUAAGAACUCAAGCUCUCCAACGAUUCUUCUGAAACCUCCAAUCACACCCUUAAACUGAAACUUUAAAAACUUUUUAUUUUCUUUGUAUACAAUCUUUCUUUUUCUUUUUUUUUUUUUUUUUUUUUUUUUUUUUUUUUUUUUUUUAAAUACAAACAUGAAAUACCCCAUACUUAUUCUUUUGCCAAACACCUUCAAAGUACUUCACAAACAUUUCUCAUAAGACAAUCUCACAUUGCUCACUAGCUUGCUUGGAAAGGGUAAGGAAAAAUGUUUCAGGUAUAAGGGUAGACAUAUCUGGUGAUAAGAAAUAAAAGGCUCAACAUACACGACUCAAAUUGGCAAUCUAAUGAUAUCAUUUUUAUUUGGGAAACAUGGUUAUUUGGGCCAUAGUGGUAAACCUAAUGCCUCUAUUAUUUCCAAGUUCAUGCAAUCAAUGACAAACAUUUCGAAAGAUCGUUACGCAAGUUCUAGAGAUGUAUCUCACAUAAGUUCAUCACACAUGAAAGAAUAGGAGUGUAUGAAAAAUGCACACACUUUCAAUCGGCUCAAAAACUCACAUAGGAUGUAUAUGGUCACUAAAUUGUUGCUUUUUGUUUUCUUAAUUAGUUUUUUUUUUAGAAAACAAAACUAAUUAAGAAAACAAAAAGCAACAACACAGAAACAAAUGAAAUUCUAGAGAUUUCUACCCCCACACUUAAACUUGACAUUGUCCCCAAUGUCAGAAAACACUAUAACGCAAAUAAAAUAAAAUAAAUAAAUAAUAAGAAACAAAAUAAAGCAAUUGGACUGAAAACUUCCCUAAUUUGCAGUAAAAUCAAGCGAUGACCCCCAAGAUAAAAUUCUGCAAUCAACUUCAAGGGUGGAAAUAACCAAAAGUUCCUGCAAAGAAAAGAAAUAAUUCAGUUAAGUGACGCAAGAAAAUGUAAAAAAAAAUUGCAAACGAAAAAUUGAAAAUCACGAUAAAAGACAAUGAAUAGAACUAAUAAGUGAUCAUUGGUCGUGCUUGUUGACUUUCCACAGCUUUCCUCUUGAACAGGGUGACACUUAGCUUUUUACUUGCAAGUGAUGAUUUGAUGAUAUUGUACGGCGAAGCUUUGCUCUUUGGUGAUGUUGCAGUUCCUUAUUUGUUCUCCAAGCAGAAGUGGCAGCUUCUCUAGUUCCUCAGCUCGGACUCCUUCCGCUGGAAUGAUUGUGCAAGCUGCAUUCUUCUCUGCUCGUUUCUUCUGUACGUUGUCUCCACAUGCUGUUGGUAUCAUUUUCGCUUGCCUUAUCUGUUCUUCAGGUAGAUGUGGCAGCUUCUUUGGAAGUACAUCAGCAAUGGAAGACGAGUACUCGAGAGCAAUUUCUCCAUGUCCUGCAGGUUAGAACAAAGACAAGGAAAAGGACAUGGAGAAUGCAUGAUAUGAGAUACUCUUGCUUUCAACCAUUAUGAUAUGAAAUACUUUUGCUCUGGAUGGGUUGUUUGCAGGGUUCCUAUCCCAGGGAAUGAGGAAUACAGUGUGACUCGAGAGGGUUUUUUGGGAAUGCAUUCUCGGAGAUGAAGAAGUGCUGAGAGGGUGUGCCUUUGCUGUGGAAGGCGAAGGUAAAUACUUAUAGGACUUUUCUUCACAACCGGAACUAUUCUCUCACUCAUUGUCGGCAGCCGGUGGAUGGAUGAAAUAGUACAAAUUACGCGCUUUCUGACAAAGCUGCCCGUAAUUUUCGCAAAGCAGAUUCCUCAUUGAUAUCUGGAAUCGGCGCUUCGAGCUCCUGAGCAUCGUCGAUUUGAGAGUAGCAUGUGACACGUGCGGAUAAAUCUGGAAAAGAAGAUUUGCCCGUGGGUUGAAGCCCAGCUUUUGAGAAAGCUAGCGUGUCUUUGACUGUUGAAUUUCCCUCUUCGAUUUCUGAAUUGGUGCUUCGACAAACUGUCCGAGAAUUUCGCAAAGCAAUUUGCGUGUGACAGCAAGUGACGACACGUCUGGACAAAUUGAUCUUUUGAAAUCCGGGGUUCGGCUCGUGGUUUCUGAGCAAGCCCAGCCUUUAAGAAAUGAAACGCCUCUUUUGAGAAAAGAAUCCGGCUUUUAAGAAAUGAGCGUCCUCUUUUCAGAAAAGAAUCCGGCUUUUGAGAAAGGAGCCCCGCCUCUUCGAUUUGCGAGAGGACGCCUCUUCAAUUUCUGAGGAGCGCCUCUUUGAUUUUUAUAGAGGCGCUAAUUUUGUUCCACAACACACUUGAGCUCCCUCCUGUAAACACUCCCUUCUUGCACUUGUUUAAUCUUGAUCUGUCCGACUCUCUUCUUUCUUCACCACCUCUGGAAAAUGUCUGGCCUUUCCGAUCGUCGUUUUGACUUAAACCUUGGUGAAGAGGCAGCUCCGCCUUCACCAGACAACAUAUGGCCAUCCUUCAUAUCCCCUACCGGUCCCUUACCGUGGGGAUUGGUUGAGAACUGAAAAUGAGCUGUAGGGUGGUGGGGAGCCCUGUCACAGACCGUCGACUGCAUCGUAGACGAUGAUCCAUGAGUUGGCGAGCGGUUAAAGAAGCGCUAUGUUUCAAGACUCUCAAGUGAUGUCAACAGAGAGGCAAUCCGAGUGUCGCCCUCGAUUCCUCGCUUACGUAGAGGAGAAGUAUAGGUAUUGUUUGCGAGACCGCUAUCAAUCUGUUUCCUACCUCUAGAGACUCACCGACGUCUAUGAAGCCCGGUGGGUACAUAUUAACAAGGGGUCUUAGGUGAAGAUGAAAGACUGUAAAAGUGGAAGAAAGAAUCGAAGACAAUGAGUAACGAAUUACCACAGCAUGACCUCGCGAGAUGCUGCGCUUAUUACUCUCCCAAGUCGACUCAGAAAGAUUGAUUAAUUAGGCAGGGUUUAUUCCCACAGACAUAAAUAUGGAAGGAACGGUAUGUAGUGAAACAACAUCCGUACCGUACAAAUUUCUAUAAACUCUGACUUUCCUGUGCGUGAGUAAAGGUUCUUUGAAGGAUAAAAUAUGUCUAAAAAGUCUGACAUUUAUGUGAGUGUCUUAUUGGAGAGUGUGGUAAUCGCUGGAUCGGUACACUAGGUCGUAAGUUCUGAAAUACGGAUAUUUAUGAUAUGUACACCAAUGUUGGCUCGAGAUAUGAAAAUUCUAUUUACUGCGCCUUUUCAAGAGUCAGUUUCUAAAACCACGAAACCCGAGACUCUCCCUGCUGAAUAUAGCCGUUGAGACACGUAGUCAACUUUCUUAUUUACCCUGGAAUGCCCAUCAACAACCAAAUCCGAGCAGAUGCUCCGGCACUAUAUAGCGCAAGUAAGCAAUAGUGUUAUAACUAACUUUUAACAUAUAUACAUACCGGUGUCUUUUAUUUUUUAAAGUGUGUGUUUUUAUUAUCUCAAUCAAUUUCUUUAAAUAUUUUUUGAAUUUGUCCCUCUACUAUUUGCAGAUAGUUUUUAAAUCUAUUAAGAAUAAUGCCUUUUUAUAAUAUCCUAUUUAUUAUUUUAAUCCUCCUUCAGUUCAUAAUUUGUGUUUAUCGGUAUGAACAUUAUAUUAUGGAUACCAUCAAUUGGAUCUUUCUCGAGGAGUAAUUCUGUGAUCGCGCUACAAAUUAAACUAUAUUGAAACCAAUACUAUCUCUUAACGAAAAUUAGAAGAAAAAUUUAAAAAUGAAAUGAAAAGGAUUAACCUUAACAUGAGAAAAAAUGAAACGUCGAAGUAUAAAACGAUGUUAACUCAGGUGGAAAGAAAUGACUUAGAGAGCAAUGUCAUCUUGGGAGUUUUUAGUUAUCCCUAAAAGUCUUAUCCCGGUCAUCUGAAUGUCUUGAGAUUAGCUACCACCCAAAAAGGGCGGGUGUUGCGACCGUGUAUAACUUAUAAUGAGGUCAUAAAAAGCGACACCCGGUGUACGAGGAUUACACUCUACCUGGUUUGUAAAUUCGACACCUGGCUAGUAAUAUUGAUAGCAUAUACAGGAAAGAAGUAACACAACUUAUCAUCAUACCAAUAGUCAAGGAUAAUUCCUUGGAAACACAAUGAAUAAGUUACAUAUUACCCUAAAGAUGCACAAUUGGGGACGUAUAUUGCUAAACCUGUAGCAAUACAAAUAAUAGCACAAUAAAUUCCUACACGGACAAUGUGCGCUUACAGCCUUGCUGCUCGAAUCCUUUAUUAGCCUAGAUACAGGCUAAUUCGACGGGCCUGCCACACACCGGCAACACUCGAUUUGCAGUAGCAUGUGUUGAAGAGAAAACUUGACAACAAUCUUAAAUCACUGUACUAUCCUCAUAGUUAUCCUAAGUGUAGAUUAUAUUUUGUAAGCUAGUGGGUACUUUUCCGUCUCCUAGGGGGCGCGGAUUAUAGGUUAUUGUUAUCAUUACUUAAUCCCUCUUGAUUCAUUACUACAUUCAAUGUGUUAAAAUGAAUAUGUUCACUGACCACCCUCAAGGCGUAAUACGCGCAACUCAAAGAGGAAAUAUAAGAAUUCCUCUAAUUCAGAACUCGUGGAGAUUCAGUUAUCGUAAAAUAUGGAGUAAGUGUACUAAUGAGAUAAAAGAUACAUACCAAACAUGUAAUACAUUAACAACCCCAUAAGAGCAAAACAUUGCUCAACUGGAACGAGCGGAGAAAGUCUCCUCCUCCUCCUCUCCACCAUAGGUAUUGAAGAAGACACCAGACACACCUAUAAUAAAUAAUAAUUCUACUUAUGAAGUGGUAGCGAGGAUGCAGAAACGCAAUCGUUUAUGGUUGUCGUGACAUAUCGAUAAUAGCAAUUAAAACCUUAAAUAGUAAUAGAGAAUUUUCUAAUCAAGAAGAUUAUGACGAGACAAUCAAAGACGUCAAGAAAUGGGGUUGACAUAAUUUGCAAGAACUGAGGAGGCGAGUUUACAAUGAAGUAACUACGUAGGAUUACCUUAUAUAGACAAGCAACCGAAUUCGAGAAUUCUGUACACAAUUCAAGAUACAAUUGUAGUGCUCGCGCUCUGGCGCGUGUACUCGUACAUAUCUUUUAAGAAGAUGCAAAACAUUGUCAGAACGCAUGCCCUACCGAGAGCCUCGAAGAAUUGGACUGAGUGAACAAAUUGUCAAUAGGAAGAUGAACGAGACAACAAAUCCUUUCAUGAAGCCCAUAUAGACUGUGCCGAAUGGGUCUGAUUUUUGAACUACUCGCAACAAACUACGCAACAAAGCCAGCAUAACAGUAUACAUUGAAGCAAUGCACAGGCACCUAAAUCCCCGUUGCCGCACCGAGACAAAUACACGUAGAGUAACCGAGUGCCUCAGACCAUAAGUUGAUAUAACACAAAAUGUUCUCACCUCCUCUCUCCGAAAGGUUGCGUACCUCUUGUUACAGAGCUAUGCUGGUCUCUAAGGAACACCGGUAUGCUGGAUAAGAAAAUUAAUUUGAGUUCGUGUAACUUCGAUUAUCGUGUUGUAUUCUCUAAUAAAUGCUUAGAUUAGUAUACUGUACUUUAGAUAGCGUCUAAUGAGUCUGAGUAAUUCUUAAGAUAGUCGACUCACGUAAUCACAUAAUUACUUUUAAGGACAAUCCUAGACUUCUUUUCGCUAAACUUGAAAUAUUUAGGAUGGACAUAUAUGAUUUAAUAACCACUAUCGUGGUGGUUAUUUGAACUAACCAGUUAAAAACGAGAUUUAAAAAAUACAGCGACACAACUCAUUAUAGACAAAGAUGAAAUAUCUUGAACUCCGGGUUAUUGAAAGUGGUGGGAGCGUACACUUAUGUUCCCAAGUUGUGUUAUCGUUUGAGUUAAUUUAAAAGAUUAGUGUAAUAGAAACAUACUUAUCGAUAAAACAUCUAAAGUUCAUUGAAUUCUUUACUUACAUAUCGAAGAAAUCAUUAAAUGUGAAGUUUUCCUGCUUAUUGGUAACCAAUUAGGGAUUAACCGAUGAACGAGCGUUUCUAAGAAGGAAGUAGUUUUGUUACAUACUAUGGUUUCCGUGAUGUAUUCAACUUAAAUUGUUGGAAGAACCUGGCUCGGCAUAACACCGAUUGGGUCUGCAUUUGUACCCUCGUGGUGUGAGUAUUGUUUUCUUCAUCUUAUAGCUUAUGUAUGACGAAUCUGAUCGUUGUUCUGCAUACUGACUGGCUAUUACCUGUGUCCAAAGCUACCUUACAUGUGAGGUGGAAGUGUGCCUUGGCAGCUAACAAUUGAUGCUCUCAACCAUAGCCGGUAAUGUGAUUGCCGCUACUAUCCUGUGUUAAAUCCUAGAAGGGCUAAUCCUGCCGGUCCACAUAGAUCGUAUCUCAUCCUUCGCAGGGUACUAGAGUUUGCUCAGUAUUUACCUAUUAAAGAGACAAUGACUCUUAUCCUAAACAGUGCGACCGACUUUGUUUGUCCCUUCUAAUAACUCUCUGUGCCUACUAUAAAGAUUAGUAAAAUGGGCACGAACCUUAUAGAGUGAAUUCAUAUAUCACCUCCAUACUCGACCACAUUAACACUCCAAGUUCUGCUCUUUCUCUGCCUUUCUCCUCUAUAGUAACUGUCUGCAAGAACCAAACCAGGGUGAAAAUGCUCUUUCUACACACCUCUAGAGGCCAUCUUUUUAAUCAGUAUAUUUAGGAUUUCCUACAUAAUAACUACUCGUUAUAUAUUAUAUUAUAUUCUUUCAUACAUAAUAUAUGCGGUUCAACUAUAAUAUGGGUUUAUAAUUCUCCACAUAUUCUGACUAUCGGCGCCUACCGGAUCCGAUAUGAUACUAUUAUACAUACAAUCUUUUUUAUUUUUGUUUCCUUGCAUGGUGAUCAAGAAAAAGUUUCUUUACUGCAUGUUAAUUUUCAGUAAUUUCAUUCUACCUAGCUAAUAUUCUUUUGUUUUGCUGCAUUUCUUGAGUGUAUCUCUAUAAUUUACUAUUUGUUAUAUUUAAUAUAAUUCCUGACACUUGGGUACUCAGUGGCCAUGAGGUGUGCUAUGUAGGACGUAAUAGCAUUCUCUUUAACACAAUAUUUGUACUAUCUUAUCUUCUUAGCACUGAUAUCCAUGGUUCUCAUCUGAAAUUCAAUGAUCUUAGUCAGAGUAAGAUGUUAAUCCGAAAACUUAAAAUAUCACUUCUUACUCACUUUUACAAGUUCACAAUUAAUGAGUAAUAAUAUUACACAUUUUAAAUAGGAACAAUGGCCUUGAAGUUUCACUAAGAAAGGUGUGUCUAUGAUAUACCGCAUCAAAAUUAACAUGUUAAAAUUUUUUAUUAUUUUUCUUUAAGUAUUAAAUUGUUUACUAAUUGUCUAACAAUUAGUAAUUGUCCCGUAUAGAUCACAUUCAAAAAAAAAGAAAAUAAACUAUUAGGAAAUAAUUUUAAGAAGUAGAUCUGAGAAUUGAAAUGGUUGGAUUAUAUAUUUCCAGAAGGCUUCAAUAAUUCAAUAAUAAUCAUGAAAUAUUUUUACAAUAAAUGACACCAAUUAUUGUUAUUGACUAGAAGAAUUACCUAUAUGUACAAAAUGGUAAUUAGUUAUUUGGGGUACGCUCUACAAUUCUCAAAUCCUUAAAUUUUUUUACUAUUGGUAUACACUACUAAUUUCUAUGAUUAUGAAUCCAACCCACUAAGGUUGUAAUUGGUGCAAUGUUUCCAGAACCUUAAUACUCAGAGUUAGUGUAUUCGAUUCUUAUAGAAUCCAAGUUUUUUUUCCUCAUUCAAACCAACUAUGUUAGGGGGUCUCUGAAUACCUCACACACCCUAUAUUGUUUUUUUUUUGUGUAUGCCUUUUCUUAUUUUAAUUGCGUUCUGUGCCCGAGCCAAAUUUGAAAUUUUGGUUGGUCCCAAUCAAUUUUUUUUGGGUAGAUGAAUGAUUAUAUUAAAAGAGAAACCAAAAGAGAAGAAACAGAAGAGCCACAGCACCUAAGCUAAGUCCCAAUCAAUACCUAAUUCCAAAUCCUCACUGCAAAAUGGCGAAGCGAACCAAGUUGGUGAGAGGCCAAGCUUGCUUCGAGAUCCAUCAACCAUUUGAGGAGAGGGAAAAAAAGCAAAGAAUAUAAAAAAGAAGACAGAAUACACACUUGACCAUGACAAAAACCGACCAAUUAACCUUUGAGAGAAACAAGAAGGGGAAGACAACCUCAUUCUUAAAGAAAAAAGAAAAUACGCGCAACAACCCCGAAAUACAACAUGAUGGCAAUGCUUGUGAAACAAAGAAAAAAUCUUAAGACAAUCAUCCCGAAUAAUAUUAAGAGUAGUAUAUUGAAACAUGUAGUUUAUAUCUACCACUUAUUGCUGAAUAGACACAAAUUUUGAAUAGGGUAGCGAUUUUGUGCUGGUAGGUGACCCAAAAGAUUUCCCUUAGACCAUAUAAUGGCAAAUCACGAGAGGACAUAACCGUGCUAACGUGUGUGUAGAGUAUAAAAUGGAGCAUUUAAUCUAAAUCCUUGGUUAGUGACGCGCACAUAUACGUCGGAAUACGGCAAUGUCGUAUUUCUGACACUUACAAUUUAGAUUGCGCUUUCUUGUUGGCCAAAUAGUACUACUGAGACAAAGCUGCUCUGAAGAAGGCUGCAAACUUAAUAUAGAAUAAGCAUAUACACAUCACUGCCUGACUUAACGUAUACUUAAUCCAUUGUGGACCAAGAGUUAUAAUGGAGCAGCCCCAGUGAUAAACUCAUGUCAAUCCAAAAGGGAGGAGGAUCUAUCAUCUCCACUUACUUUUGAUAUGUUUUAUGCACCCAUGAUGACCAUAAAUUGAGUUAAUAGGCGGACUAUAAUUAAACAUGGAUGGUGUACACCCUCAAAGAACAAGCAAAAGUGGAAAUCUGUUGUACAAACUUAUUACCUAUGUCCAUAUUUUCAGGAUGAACAUGAACAUGUAAACGCAAACGAAUGACAUAUGUUCGAGAGGGUCUGAUCCGAAGGAAGGUAGACAGGACACAUCACCCACGAAACAUUCCACUAAGUAGAGGUGUACAUAAACUUGUGUAACUGCGCUCUUAAAAUUUUACUAGCAACGCCAAGAAUGGUAAUGUGUAAGCGAAAUACAGAUCCUUAAGUGUGACAAAUGAGCGUGUUUAUUCCAAUACGCGACAAAUGAGACUAGCUCAAAUGUGAUUCUAGUGUUUUUCUUAUAGAUCGUCUCACUUGAAAAUUAGAAAUUGCCUUAGUUCUAACACUUCCCGUAUAGCCCUUUAUGGAAGGUCUCAUAGUAGCUUCCAUUAUCGAAACGGAAUGAUCCGAGACUAAAUUCUUGAAAAGUAAUAAGAAUCACGCAUUUUAGUUCGUUGGCGUUUCGGAGAAAGAGGGAAACAAAAAUAGAAAAACUCGCCAAUAUUAAUUUCUCAAUUAAAAAAUACCCUAUUAGGGAGAAUUGUGAUAAAAAUAUUUCCUAUGCCUUCCAGCCUGGAACUGCCAAUAUCCAGGGAUUGACUGCGUAUUACUAAUAAUCAUAUACUACAAAUAGACAAUCUUGAUAGUCCAAACAACAGAAUUUAUUUUCUUGGUUGAAAGACGCGCUGGAAAGGUUCUCGUUAUUCUCCCAUUGCGAAAUGUCACAUAGGAGAUGUUAUAUUCUGACAAGGAAGUGUGCAUCCGAAGGUAAAAAGUUGUGGUCAGAAAGUCCGAGUGCAAUUCGUCAUAUACGAGUGCGAAAUGAGGUGGAUGCCUUGCUGUUCUCAACAGGACCCCGGAGAUCCCUCAGUGGGUCUAAUAAAACGAAAGGAGAGAAUGUUAUUGAUUAUGAAUCUCUCCAAAAUCCUCAACGAAAAAACUGGUGAGAGUCAAUUACAGCUAACUAAGCUCUCAAAAUUAAAAACUUGAACUAACGGAGUUACAAUAUAAUGAACAGAUAUGUUCGUGUCCAUUCUAUAUUAUAAGAUUAAACUUCAUAGUGAAAUUGCGUUACAAGCUCAAUUAUAAUAACAUAUGGUAUGCCUUAUGUCAAUAUUACGUAGGCUACAUCAAUCAUCGUGAAUGUUGUGGUAUAUCAUAUUCAAGUCUAACCCCUACUUUCUAGAUAAUGUCUUUCUGGGGAAGUAUAAAAACACUGUCGCUAUAAAUAAAUAAAUUUUAUAUAUGGUGAGCUCUCAACAGCUCUCUACCAACUAAGAAAAGUAAAAGCGUGGAUCUCAUUAAGCACCUUAGUUCGCCUAACAUUAGCUAUUAUAUUGAAUCAAAAUUGUUCAUAACCUUAACUUGGCCCAAAUAUCUUAUAAGAAUAUUACGUGUGUAUUGUUAAUUUAUCCUGACAUUCAUGUGAAUCCAAAGCGAUGAAAUAAUUUACGUUUUAUCCAAACAAAGAAAAGUCAGUGCUAAAUCCGCGACAUCAGAGGACAAUCCGCUCACUAGUAAAGGAAUUUGAUACCAAUUUAGCAAGAGGAGGCUCUUCUAAUUCAAAUUUACUUUCGGUAAAAUAAAUGAAAAUGUCAUAUAAAAGUGUGGAGAAAGUAUAUAGCGACGACAAAAACCAUACGAUCAUCCAUGCAUACCGUGUUCAUGACAUUAAGCGCUCCUGCAGUGUGGUUUGUCGGAAUGUUUCUAAUGAUACACAAUAUUGAAAUUACAACCCUGUCUCAAACUUCAAACACAUUUUCCUAAAAGUCAUCACAUUUUCUCCCCUCUUGUUGUGUAUCUGCUUCAGGCAAUAUGUAUACCCUGUUCUUUAUGAACAGCCAGUGAACGGCCUGUCAUGAUUAACAACCUCCCAUUGUACACAUAUAACUAUUCUGUCGCCCAACUCAGUGAGCAACUCAGCCUUCAAAGACCUGUAAUAACCUGAACCUAAACAUAAAGUUGUAUACGCUCAUAACCUACACACACGUAAAAGUAAAUCAAAACUUCUUAAUAACCGAAAGCGCCUACCGCUUUUCAUUAUUAUCUGGAUUCCUUAAUCUAAUCCUAUUCUGUUGAAGAAACUCCAACGAUUACUCAUCUUCGACCACACUUGACAUGCGAAUAUGUAAUUUGGUUAUGCGAUAUGUUAACAAAACCUAAAAUAUUAGCCUCACUAAUCGCACGUCUUACAACUGCAAGUGCACCAAGGAUCAAACAAUAGGUAAUACGAAAGCCAAGUACGAAGAUCUAUUCCAGUUCGAAGCGAUUAUCGUUGACGUUUAAUCAACUCUUAAUAAGUAUUUUCAAUAGUAAGGCUCUUAUGCAAUUUUCUUAACAGAGUGUGUGACAUAUCUCAUCUCUCCUAGCGCCAUCUAAUAUAAACAUAACUAUAAAAUACUAAGAGUGCGUUAUUACUAUGUCACAGUAAAGGUGAUAUGUUUAAACGGAGAGUAGAGUGUUUAAGAAUCAUUUUAUUGAGAUGUCUUCAAAAUGACUUGUGUUUUAUAGAAGUCAGAGAAUAACAAGAAUCAACAAUUAAAUUAUAAGAAUGUUAGAGCAAAUAAAAGUAAUUGGCAAUAAGGGUUUUUAAAAUAAUGUUGAAUGUUAGGACUUGUAUCCAUUCUCUAACCUUUUUCGCCUAAAUCAACUGAUACACACGAUGAUAACAAAACAGAUUUCUUGAUGCUUACGUUUUGUCAACCUAAAGGCAUAGGUAUCUACUCCUUAAGCUAUUGAUUUCCCUAAACAACGAAUUAGGCAUGGGUUGUCUACACUAAACUCUUUUCAUUUCUGAAGUAAUUUAGCAUGGUAUCUACUAAGUUGCACCCGAGGAAGCAUAAUAACAAUGGAAAAUCGACAAACCACAUGAAUCCCAGAACCAAUGCGAUAAUCUAUUACGGAUUAUCCGUGAUAAUGAAAUUCCAAAGAACCGUAACUAGUUCUUUUGUUACCUUGGAUUAGGUACAAGACUCGAUCAUCCAAAAUUUACCCAUGUAACAAAAAAUCGGAACAUUACAAAGGCAUUAUUAAUUAGAGUGGAUGAAAGAAUGCAUAUUCAUAAAAGAAAAUAACUCAAAAAAUAAUUGAUAUAAGAGUAAUUGAAAAUCACAGAAUGAGAUAAUGGUGGUAGCUGAAAAAUCAUACUUAUUUACAGGUCUUAUUCAAUCUUCCACUGCUAUUUGGGUCUGUAGUUAUCAACCCCAAAAAUGUUGGAUCGAAAAAAUACUAACGGCAAACAUGAUUGAGUAACUUCCAAAAUCAUAGCCGGCGAACCUUAUGAAAUUUUAGUACUCAAUAAUGUUAGGAUACCUGAGGCAGACAAAGACAAGACAAAAUAAAUAGAUAAGAUAAAACGCGUAGAAGAAAGAAACAACUCUUCAAUGGAUUAGAAUAUGCACAGAAUUAAUGGGAGCCCUGGUCCUUAUCCUCUUUCAAUACAUACCUUACUUGUCAGUGUCCGUCCUUACCCUUUGGUGGCUACUGUUAUAUUUUAUUACUCUAAAAUUGUUUUAUUAGCUCGCGAUAUGUCGUGUCAUGAUUUACUCUGUCCUGAUUCGUGUCUUGCGCAAGUUGUGUAAUUGGAGGGUAUGAAAAUGAAUCUUCGCCCCUUGUGCGAUUUGUUUAGAAAUAGCCAACAAGGCGUGAAUAGCCUUCUUUUCUCAUUAUAUAUCUAAUUUCAAUGAGCUAUGUUAGAAGUUUGAUUUAAUUUCGAUUAUUAGUGUCUUCUUUAAUUUAGUUUUCGCUUAACAGAUCUUCUCAUUAUGGUUCUUCUUACCUGCAACUUGGUUAAUAAAACUCAAUAAUUUAAGAGCUCAGUGGAAUUUUUUUAUCUUUAUCAUAUUUUAUUAAUUGCCACAUGUCUACCUCAUCGUUGUGUUAGUAACACACAUUCUGUUAGUGUUCUGUACCUCGCGUCGCUUAGUACCUUAUCAGAUUUUCUAUAUGUUACUAAAACUGCACAUAACUCCCUACUUAGAGUAAGAUUAUGUGUAUUUACAGGAAGCCGUUAAAGUUUCUUAAUAAAUGAAGCGACAUUACCGAUUGGUCUUUCCAAAAUAUAAUGGAUGGUACAUCUCCGUGCUUUUAAAUUCACCAGAAGUCGAAGUCAUCAAUUUUAAUCCUUACGAAAACUCAACGCAUUAUUGGUCUCUUGCAGCACAUAACGGUGUAUGCAAAAGCAAAUAACUACCGAGUUCGUGUGCUUGAGUGAGUAUAACAAUACGUGAUUGUUGUAUAUGAUAUCGGGAAAAGGACAGAACCCUAGUGAGUAUAUAGUUACCCAUCAUCUUAUUUUUGGUGAAACGACUCUUUUGCUUGUUACCACCCCUGACAAAACACAAAUUGUCUAUUUUAUGAAGUAAUUGUUAAAUGUUAAAUCUAUUUACAGAAAGCAGUCACUGGAAAAGUCACCAGAAAAGGUGGGUAAACAACGGAAAGAAGAAUGUAUAUAAAUAAUAUAAAAUAGCGACAUUUGACGCAGCCAUACACACAAUAGAUUCAGUGCACACAAUACUUUCAUUUAUAGUGUCAACCAAAUGCCCGCAACCAUUUUAAAUGUGGAAAUCUUUGAUAUAUGGGGUAUGGAUUUCAUGGAACCCUUUUUGCCCUCAUAUGGUUUUACUUAUAUUUUGCUAACCGUUGAUUAUGUGUCAAAAUGGGUGGAAGCCAAAGCCACCCGUACUAACGAUUCUAGAGUGGUGGCAGAUUUUAUCAAGGCUAACAUCUUUUCCAGAUUUGACAUGCCGAGGGUGUUCAUAACCGAUGGAGGCUCCCACUUUUGCAAUCACACCAUGAGGCGCUGUUUAAAAAGUACAAUGCGAAGCAUCUGGUUUCCACGCCAUACCACCCUCAAACAAGUGGCCAAACUGAAGUCUCGAAUAGAGAAAUCAAGCAAAUCUUAGAGAAGACUGUUAGGCCAAACCAGAAGGAUUGGAGCUUGCGUUUAGAUGAUGCACUGUGGGCAUAUCGCACUGCCUACAAAACACCUCUAGGGAUGUCUCCAUUUCAACUAAUCUACGACAAGCCGUGUCACCUACCUAUGGAAUUGGAGCACAAAGCGCAUUGGGCUGUGAAAACAUUCAAUUUGGACUUAGAUGCUGCUGGAAUGAAUAGGAAGCUCCAACUGAAUAAACUUGAGGAGAUACGGAACGAAGCCUAUGAGAAUGCACGAAUUUACAAGGAGAAAACAAAGGCGUUUCAUGACAAAAUGAUUCGGGGAAAAACAUUCUCAAUUGGACAGAAAGUGCUACUAUUCAAUUCCCGUCUACGAUUGUUCCCUGGUAAGUUACGGUCUAAGUGGAUUAGGCCAUUUGUUGUCACUAAUGUUUUUCCCCAUGGUGCAGUCCAAGUUAAAAGCUUAAGGAACGGCGACGAAUUCAAAGUGAACGGGCAUCGUCUGAAGUUAUACUAUGAGAGAGUUGUGGGGCAGAUUGUGGAAGAAAUCCCACUUAGUGCCGUGGGCCCUAUCCAAGCUUAGAAGGAAGUUUCGUCCGGCUACAAGACGUUAAAGCAAACGCUUCUUAGGAGGCAACCCAUGUUUUGCAUUCCUAAAAACCUUCCCUUUUCUGCAGUUUUAUUUUGCCAUGAUUGUCAUUUUUAUUUGUUGCUUGUUUAAUUGUUUUUGGUAUGGGUUUAUUUUUGAAACAUUGACAGAUAUGCAAGGUAUUUUUACAUUAAAAUUCGUUGAAAAUGAACAGAAGGCAGAAAAAUACAAAAGAGAGCCUUCCCAAAGGCUGCUUAGGAGAAGUCUCAGUAGUCGGCGAAGCCUCAGAGGUCGGCAGAGCCCCAGCAGUCGGCGGAGCCCCAGAAGAAGGAGGUAUCGAAGGUUGAUCAAUUGGAGCUUCAUUACGUGGUACAGCUCAGAAGGCGAAGGCAAAUGCUGUUGGAACAAACCCACAAACCUCUGAUGAUCAAGUAAAAUCUGACCAUCAGAUUCCUGCAUCUGGUCAAUCUUCCUCUUCAUGUUUGUAGCAUCGUUAUGUGCAAGCCUGUGUAACUGUUUAUUCUCAUGCUUGAGCCCUCUAAUCUCUUGUUUGAGACUCAUCACUUCAGCCGCCAAUGAUUCAACUUGACGGGUUCGAGCAAAUAGACGUUGGGCCAUAUUAGACACAAAACCUGCACACUGCACACUGAGAGCCAGAGAAUCCUUAACAGCCAACUCAUCAGACCGUUUGGAAAGUAGUCUGUUAUCUUUGUGAGUGACAAGGUUCCGGGCCACCACCACAGCAGUCAUAUCAUUCUUCAUCACCAAAUCCCCUACGGUAAGAAAACCAAUAGGGAAUAUGAAGGAUGGGCACCAUAUGUUGUCUGGAGAAGGCAUGGAUGCCUCUUCACCAAGGUUCAAGUCAAAACGACGGUUGGAGGGGCCAGACAUUUUCGAAGGUGUUGAAGAAAGAAGAGGUCGGACAAAUCGAGAUCUUAGAAGUGCAAUGAAGGGAAUUUCUACAGGCAACAAUUCAAGUGUGCUUUGAAACGAACUACGUGCUUCUAUAAAAAUUAGCACUCGACGGGAUUUCAGAGAUCGAAGAGGCGAGCUUCGAAAUCGAAGAGGCGCUAGCUUUCUCAAAAGCUGAGCUUGCUCAGAAACCACGGGUCAUCCUCUUUUCCAAAUUUGUCCGCACUUGUCACAUGCAACCUCUGCACUUGACGGAGCUCAGAAAUCGAAGAGGCAAGCUUAGAAAUCGAAGAGGCAUCUGCUUUUCCAGACAUGUCAGCACCUAUCAUAUGCACACUCAGCCUUGUGGAAAUUACGAGCAAUCUGUCGAAGAUUUCUGGUGACGUAGAAAGCACGUGAAGUUUACUGUUCAAUUAUCCAACGGUUGCCGACAAGAGUGAAAUAAUGGUACCGGUUAUUAAUUUAUAUAAAUGUCGACCUUCACCCUCAAUUGCAAGGUAGACAUACAUAACCCUUCUUUAUCUCCGAGAAUGCCUUCCCAACAAAGCCUCUCGAGUCACUCAGUGUUCCUUAUUCCCUGGGAUACCUCUGCAAACAACCCAUCAAAAGCAAAAGUAUUUCAUAUCAUGAAGGUUGAAAGCAAGAGUAUCUCAUAUCAUGCUUUCUCCCUGUUCUUCUCAUUGUCGUUGUUUUCACCUGCGAGACAAGGAGAAAGAAAGCAAUCAGCAAACACUUGGUAUCAAUCUUUCGAUUUGGAACCGACUGCCUGGAACCCCUUCCUGAUUGCUUACCUAGCCUUGCUCUCGAGUACUCAUUUUUCAACAUCUUAUGCUUCCUCAAAAGCUAUCACAUCUGCCUGGACAACAGAUAAGGGAAGUGAAAAUGAUACCUCGAAGCAUGUGGAGACAAUGUGCUAAUUCAUCCUCCGCUAGGGACAAGGAGAAAGAAAGCAACUGGUCAGCACUUGGAAAGAUUGAAAAAGGAAACAGACCAUCACCUCUACCUCGUGCCUGCCUGCCGUGCAGAAGAAACAAGCAGAGAAGAAUGCAGACUGCACAAUCAAAUCAACCCAGUAGAAGGAGUCUGAUUUGAAACCAAGGAACUCUCAUAUUCCUCGCUUAGAAUUCCAAACCAGUUCGAGAUCAAAGUUGUGGAAAGUCAACUAAAUCAUCUAUCUCCAAAACGAGAUUUGCAUUCUUAAACUCUACUUUGUCUGUUUUUUACUUUGCCACACUUGUCAUGUUUAUUCGUUGUUUGUUUGUUUGCUUGUUUUUGUGUGAGUUUAUGCUUGAAACAUUGAGGACAAUGUUUGAUUUAAGUGUUGGGGGGGGGGGGGUAACCAAGUUGUUUUGCAUGAAAUUCGUAGAAGUUUAUCACUCAUUACUUCUAGUGUUGUUCCUUGCUGUUUUUAAGUGUUUUUAAGCUGUUUUGGAGUGUUUUAGUGUGUUUUGACAUAAAAAUUUGAAAAAUUGUUUUGAAAAACCUAAAAAAAGUUGUUUUUGUGUGUUUAUUUGUGUCUUAGGGUACCUUCCAAUACAAUGAUGAGGAUUUGGUUUUUAAUUACAUGACUGUUAAAGAGAGUUAUAAACAUGGAUGAAAAUUUGAUUUACUCUUUGGUGUAUGCUUGGUUGUGGUUAUAAUUUAUGAAUUCACAUGCAAUCAUAAAGGAAAAAUUAGUUUUUGUAACAUGCUUAAAGGAAGGAACUCAAAUGAACGCUACAACCUUGUGAGACUUGAACCUAAACGUUUAUUUGGAGAGUUAAUAAUAUGUGCAUCAUUGUUUUCUAAAGUCGAUGCAUGAUCUCAUUAUUCUUUGCUUGGUUGCUACUUAGAAGGCGUUUCUCAUUAUGUGACUUAGUUAGCUUGUUCUUGUGCAUUUAUGUUGUUACUUCUUAGUUGAUUUAGUAUUUCAAGCCAUUUUUGUGUGGUUGUAGGUACAAAGGGUUAAAGAGGCAAAAAAGUGCAUUUUGGUGCCUUUUGGAGCAGUUUUGGGCAUAUAAUGGAUAUCACAUGCAUGGAGCAAAGUGGUUGGACGAAAUUAAAGAUCUAAAGAAGCUAGGAAUGUGCCAAGGAAAGGAAGAAAAUAAAUUGAGGACCAAGGAAGACAAGGAAACCAUUAAGAAUGAGGAAAGACUAGUCAAACUUGCCUUAUCUUGUCAUUACUUUCCUAAUCCUAAAUUACCAAAGAUUUAGUCACACGAAGGGUUCCUAAAUACUUUGGGACAUUUCAUUACAUAUUCUACAAGUCCUAAACCUGCCCUAAAAGUCUAAGCCAUACCAUCUUUCACCAUUUCUCUUCCUUGCCGUGCAAGGGAGCCAUUCAUUUCCUAUUUUCUGCCAUAAAUCACUCCAUGCUGUGCACAUUCAUCCAUGUUCCCUCCUUGCACUCAUUUCUUGCACCAUUCCACUUCUUUUCCUUUGUCUACCAUGUGCACAAUAUCCUUUCACCUCCUUGCACUCAUUGAUUCACCACUUAUUCACCUUUCCACCCAUGCCAUGCAUAAUCACCCAUGUCUCCUUCAUGCACCAGAUUUCUUGCACUCAUUUCAUGCACCAUUACACUCAUUAUCCACCCAUGCUGUGCACCACCCUUGUCUCCUUCAUUAUUUCUGAUUUCAUGCAUCAAAACAUUGAAUCAUUGCACUCAAUUGCUACACAUUUCUUGUCCCCUUCACCCAUCAGAUUUCAUACAACUUUUACCUCCACCACAUGCACUCAUUGAUGCACCAUCCACCACAUUUGGAAUCACAUGCUGUUCCUCAUGAGUCUUGCUGUACCUUUGACUUAUUUCUGCACCAUUCCACCUCCAUUUCCUUUCUCUACAAUGUGCACAAUCAUUCAUGUUCCCCACUUGCAUUCAUGGCUACAAAACCACUCCAUUUUACCCCCUAUGCUUUGCAUCAUCACUUCAUUUUCACCUUUGAAUCAUUUCAACACCACUCCAUGCACUCAUUGCUGCAACACCACUCCAUUUUACCCUCAUGCUUUGCAUCAUUACUUCAUUUUCACCCUUGAAUCAUUGCACACACCACCAUUUUUCCCCUCAUUACCGUGCACUUCCUCUAUAAAAGGAAGUGUGUGUGGCAGCCAUAAAGUUUAGUUUUUGCUUGAUCAUUCAUCCCCAUUUCAAUACAACCUUCAUCCAAACACAUCCAUUCAUCUUUACAUCCAUACAAACAAACCUUCAAACACUCACCAACACCUUGUGCCGUAGCAAAGAAAGGGAAGGAAAGUGCUUGGACGUGCUUGCUGUCCAACUUGGAUUGUUGGAGCGUUUAGGUGUUUUCUUUCUUUUGUUUCCAAUGUUUAAAUUCAUUUUCUUUCAUUUUGUUGUGAAUAUAAGUGGCUAAACCCCUCUUAGCUAGGGGUGAUUUCAAAGCCAUGAUUAUGUGUGUAAUAUGAUUUGAUACAUUCCAGUUAUGAACUCUUGAAUCGUGAAUGCAAUUGGCUUAACUAUUUGAUUGAUAACUUAUUUGUAUUUGUUGAUUAAGGGUCGACACUUAAUUGGCAUGCAUAAAUCCGAUGCUAGAAUAUAAGAAAGUUUCACAUAGUCGUUACAAACCUAUAUUCAUAAGUAGUGGAGGUCGCUUAUAAAUGAUCGCGUUAAGUUUAAUUCUAGCAUGAGUGACAUGAUGUCAUAGUUGCAAGUGCUUUAUCAAUGCUUAUGAUUUUCAUUAAACGUAAUGAUCUUUGAUUGUAUCUCUAUUAUGAUGUCAUGUAGGGAACGUUUGAAGAAUGUUUUGGGUUGUCGAGUGAUGUCAUCCAAUCCAAUAAAACAAGGAAAAUCUGAGGGUUAACUAGUGAUGUCACAGUUAAUUUGGAGCAUUGUCGUUCAUAAUUCAAUAAAGUAGUAAUUGGAAAUCGAAUUAUUUGCAUACAUAUCAUGUGUGGAGAGAAAGCCUCUAGCUAUCCCAUCCAUCACCUUAUUUCUCACAUUUGUUUUACAAUCUGUCUAGAUUUUCAUACUUGUUUGUUUGUUACAACUUCAUCCAAAUCAAAACCCCCCUUUUAGUUCUUGUUUCAAAGUGUUUCAAAUCUAUUUUAGUUGUGUUUUUAAGUGUUUUGAUUGAAGUAAAAGUCCAUUUUCGUCCAAAGUCAUUCCUAGUGUCUAGUUUAAGUUUAUUUGGUUGUUUUGAGCUGUUUUGAGUAUUUUAAGUUUGCUUUGAGUCUUGUGGAUCUUGUUAAGUAUUUUUAAGUUUAGUUUUAUGUUUUUGAGUUAGUUUAGAGGUUAUUAGCAAGCCCUCCUAAUCCCCGGUCCAAAACGAUCCCUACUUAUACUUAUACUACAAUUGUCAAAAAAUGGUUAAAUUUGUGUGUUAAGUUAAUUUUCGCAUCAACGGGUAACAUUAGUGAGCUUGUUGAAUGAAAUACUUUUUGGACAAUAUCUAAAGGGAAGUGAUUUCACACCUUUUUGGCUUCUUACGCGCCAAUAUGUAUUUCUAACUAUUGGAUUGAAUAAAUCACACAUAAUCAAUGGUCAUGAUUAAACAAAGGUAUGUAGGAGCCUAAAGCAGGUAUGUGUUUGUCAUGUCCUAUUCAAAAUCUGUUGUCUCUCAGGUCGAAGAAAUCCAGAAAUUGAUCUAUGAGCUGCACUACGAGGGAUGCGAGAUCAAUGAGCACUUCCAAGUUGGGGCGAUAAUUGAAAAAUUGCCAACUUCGAGGAAUGACUUCAAAAUUUAUCUUAAAAACAAGCGUCGAGAUGAAUAUGGAGGAUUUGAUCUUGAGGCUACGAGUAGAAGAAGACCGCAGAAAGGCAGACCAUUUUGGAGGGUUUGCUGCCAUUGAAGCCAAUGCAAAUUAUGUUGAGGAAGGAAACUCCAAGGCCAAGCCGAAGAAGAAUAAGGCUCUUAAAACCAAGCAGUUUGUACAAUCUGCCCUUGCUCCCAAAGGCAAUAAUCUGAAGAAGAUUAAGGGCGCAUGCUAUGUGUGUGGCAAAUAUGGUCACAAGGCACAAGAUUGUUAUCAUCGUAAGGAUGGAAAUCAUGCCAACGGAAACAACAACAACCAUGCUAACAUGGCAACCACCAAGGAAGAAUUGGCUGCUAUUGUGUCCGAAGUCAACAUGGUCUCAAAUGUGAGUGAAUGGUUAUUGGAUACUAGUGCUACUAAGCACAUAUGCGCUGACAGAAAUCUAUUCACUGAAUACCAUCCUGCUGCCUAUGGAGAAAAGCUGUAUAUCGGUAAUUCUGCCUUUACUGCGGUGGAGGGCAAAGGCAAAGUGGUACUCAAAUUCACAUCUAGAAAGAGUCUCACCUUGAUGAAUGUGCUGCAUGUUCCUGAAAUAAGGAGGAACUUGGUUUCUGGACCUAUUCUGAUUGCUAAAGGCUUUAAACUUGUAAUGGAAUCCAACAAAUUUGUACUUACCAAGGGUGGGAUGUUUGUUGGAAAGGGUUAUGUGGCUGAUGGCCUUAUGAAACUCAAUGUAAUUGCUAUUGAUGAUGCUAAUAAAAUAAAUGCUUGUACUUAUAUUGUUGAGUCUUCUAAUAUUUGGCAUGCUAGAUUAGGACAUGUUAAUUUUCGUUCCAUGCAUAGAAUGGUUAAAUUAGAAUUAUUACCUAAAUUCCAAAUUGAUUUUAAUAAGUGUGAAACAUGUACUAAAUCGAAAUUUGCUAGGCAAAUGAGAAAGUCAAUUCCAGAAAGAUCAAAUGAAUUACUUGGAUUAAUUCAUAGUGAUCUUUGUGACUUUAAAUCCACACCAACUCAUGGAGGAAAGAAUUAUUAUGUCACUUUUAUUGAUGAUUGCAGUAAGUAUUGCUAUAUUUAUUUGAUUCAUAGCAAGGACAAAGCUUUGAAUAUGUUUAAGACAUAUAAAGCCGAAGUUGAAAAUCAACUUGAGAGAAAAAUCAAAGCACUUAGAUCCGAUAGAGGAGGAGAGUAUGAGUCUACUACCUUCUCAGAUUUUUGUGCACAACAUGGAAUUAUACAUCAAACAACGGCUCCAUACACACCACAACAAAAUGGUGUUGCCAAAAGAAAAAAAAUAGAACAUUCAAAGAUAUGAUUAUUUUCAUGUUAUAUAGUUCAGGGCUUCCACACCGUUUGUGGGGUGAAGCUUUACUUACUGCAAAUACCAUAUUGAAUAAGGUUCCUCUAAAAAAGAUUGACGAGUCACCAUAUGAACUAUGGAAAGGACAUAGACCCACUUAUAAAACCCUCAAAGUGUGGGGUUGCUUAGCAAAGGUGCAAGUUCCGUUACCAAAAAGAACGAAGCUAGGAUCUAAAACUAUUGAUUGUGUAUUCAUUGGAUAUGCAAAUAAUAGUGCUGCUUAUAGGUUCCUUGUUGUAAAAUCUUCGAUUUCUGACAUACAUGUCAACACUAUAUUAGAAUCAGUGGAUGCAUAAUUCUUUGAGGAUAUAUUUCCUUACAAAGAAAAUGAAUCUGGUUAUAAUACAAAGAGGGUUCAUGAUCAUAGUCAUGAUGAAGCCUCUUCUUCUGGUGUCCAAGGAAAUGAUGUGGAACCAAGAAGAGGAAAAAGAAUCAAAGUUUCUAAAAACUCUGGACCAGAUUUCAUUGCUUUCUUGUCCGAGAAUGAACCUAGAACUUUUAAAGAAGUAAUGUCUUCUUCUGAGGCUCCUUUAUGGAAGGAAGCAAUUAAAAGUGAAAUGGAAUCCAUUAUGGAAAAUAACACAUGGGAAUUGGUUGAUUUACCUCCCGGUAGUAAACCAAUUGGUCAUAAACGAAUUUUCAAGAAGAAACUUAAGGCAGAUGGAACCGUUGAUAAGUUCAAGGCACAUUUAGUAGCCAAAGGUUAUCGCCAAAAAGAAGGUUGGAUUAUUUCGACACCUAUUCUCCAUUUUCUCGCAUAACGUCAAUUUGGACGUUAAUAGCGAUUGCAGCUGUAUACAACUUUGAUAUACAUCAAAUGGAUGUAAAAACAACAUUUUUAAAUGGAGAACUAGAUGAAGAAAUAUACAUGGAACACCUUGAAGGGUUUGUGCAUAAAGGACAAGAAAGCAAAGUGUGCAAAUUAGUUAAGUCAUUAUAUGGAGGGCACGAGAAAUUUGAUCAUACUUUGUUGACACAUGGGUUCAAAAUAAAUGAAUCUGAUAAAUGUGUCUACAUUAAAAGUAAUGAUAAAACUUGUGUUAUUGUCUGCUUGCAUGUGGAUGAUAUGCUCAUAAUGGGAAGCAAUAAAGAUGUAAUAAACAAAACAAAGAAAAUGUUGAAUUCAAGUUUUGACAUGAAAGACUUAGGUCAAGCGGAUGUCAUUUUAGGAAUUGAAAUUAAGAGAAAUAGUGAAGGAUAUGUCCUUACACAAUCCCAUUAUGCAGAAAAAAUAAUACGAAGGUUUGGUCAAUUUGACUAUAAACCUGCUGUAACUCCUUUUGAUGCUGGAUGCAAGUUGAAGAAAAAUAAAGGCGAUGCCAUAUCUCAACUUGAAUAUUCUCAAGUAAUUGGAAGUCUAAUGUACUUAAUGAAUUCAACUAGGCCCGACUUAGCUUAUGCAGUAAGUAGGCUUAAUAGAUAUACAAGUAAUCCGGCACAAGAGCAUUGGAAUGCUUUAGUAAGAGUGUUAAGGUAUUUGAAAAAUACACUUGACUACGUAUUAUACUACACAAAGUAUCCACCUGUUAUAGAAGGCUUCAGUGAUGCCAAUUGGAUUUCUGACACUACAGAAUCCAAAUCGACAAGUGGAUAUGUUUUUACCUUGGGAGGUGCAGCAAUAUCUUGAAAAUCCUCUAAACAGAAAUGUAUAGCUCGGUCCACCAUGGAGUCCGAGUUUAUAGCUUUAGACUUGGAUGGCGAAGAAGUCGAGUGGCUCAAAAAAUUUCUGGAGGAUAUUCCCAUGUGGCCAAAGCCGAUAAUUGCUAUAUGUAUACAUUGUGAUAGUAUGGCCGCACAAGCAAGGGCCAAAAGUCAUGUAUACAAUGGGAAGUCACAUCACAUCAGGCGUCGACAUAAUACUCUUAAGAAGUUGCUCUCCAAUGCAAUAAUAUCCAUUAAUUAUGUGAAGUUAAAGGACAAUAUAGCUGAUCCUUUGACAAAAGGCCUACCAAGAGAGCAAAUAUUAUUUACAUCGAGGGGAAUGGGUCUCAAGCCAAUUCAAUGAAUCGAACUGGGCAGACACCUAACCUAGCUGAUUGGUGAUCCCAUGGUCAAGGUUCAAUAGGCAAAGUGGUUGAGUUUGAUUCAAAGUUGAACACACAACUUACCCAUUCUUAUGAUAAAAUGUGUGUUGUCUGUUGACGUUUGAGGGAUAUAUUUAAUGACAUUAAUAUCUUGUUAUCAAGAGGAAUAUGGUAGACUAUUCUUAAUUAAUGUCACCUAUAUAGGAGUAAAUGGGGCCGCAUUUAUGAGAAUUGACAUGGCUAAAUUCUCUAAAGCUCCUAUGAAAUCUGGGAUCUGUUCAGGGCCAAAAUGAACACAACCGUAUGAAUUAAGGUGUGGCAAACAUGAUAUGUGUGUAGCAUAUUGUCUCGGUUUAUUACUACGGUGAACAGUUCAAGAUCUUUUACAUCCAAUGCAUCACCAAGUAAACCCGAUAUGUUUUCACUAGGGUAAGUUCAAGUCCAAAAGACACUUCACUCGAUGCAUAUCAUGUCUAUUAUCUCUCAGUUUUAAGCAACCUAGUCAUCCAUUUGCAUUUACAUUUGCAUUCAAAUGUGGGUUAAUUGUUGGAGUUUGAAUGAAAUUUCAACUCAAAUGUGGGGUAUUGUUGGAAAUUUGAGUAGUUUAAGUAGAAAUUUCUUUGUCCCACAUUGGCCAUUCCCAAAAGAUUUUAUCACUUUAUAAGGCUUUGUCCUUUAUAGAAAGUGAUUGGAGUAAUAGGCCUGGAGAAUAAAAUUGGGCUCACCCUUGGGGUUGGGCUUUGGGGUGCACUAAUUAAUUGGUAAUUAAUUAUAAUUAAUAUAUAAUUAAUUAUCAAAAGAUGAGCCUUGGGCCUCUUGGGCUUGGGCUCUAAUAAUUAAAUUAUUUAAUUAAUUAUUUUCGGAUUCAAUUAAUUAUUUUUAAUUAAUUUCGAAUUUAAUUAUUUAAUUAUUUUUUACCAACAGACUCAUCAUUUUAGAUGAAGUCUGAAGGGUUCAGAAAGAACACAGAGUAAAGCGCCCAUUUGGAGAAGAUGUCUCCCAACAGACACAUCCCAUUCUCAUACCUGUUGCAAACAGGCAUCCUUCUAUUAUAUAUACAUCCUUCUGCAUGGCAUUUAGGACACAUAAAAUCAAUAUUCUUCUUCUAAAAUCACAAACAUCCUUUAUGAGAGAACCACACAGAAAUUCGCCAGAAGUUAAGUUUUCCAGUGCUAGAAUUCUAACUUGAUUGUUGAAUCCUAGUGAAGCGAACGUCCGUAGAACUACAAGCACUGAGUAGGGACGAAAUUUUUGUUUCAAGGACAUUGCGGUACGCAAGCCUCGAUCUUCAAUUUUUCUGUUUAAAUUUAUUUCGUUGUUCAUACUCUGUUCAAUAAUUUUUAUAUUCGCAUUUAUUGUUUAUUAGCAUAUAUAUAAUUAAAUCACAGAUUAUUGAUAUAUAUCCAACACGUUUUACCGAGAUAACCUCGAGGAUGAUGAAUUGUGCAAGUGUAAGAUUAGGAAUACAACUUACAUUGUACUUGUUGCCCUAUAGAAGCGAUUAACGACUAACAUGGGCCAAAGGGGUUCCUUAUUCUAUAUGCACUUGAUUAAUGUUAAAGAAGAUUUCAGUAUUGAAGGCAAUGUUAUUUUAAGUAAUGUGAGUAUACAGUACUAAUUAACCUAAUAUGGAAAAGUAGAAAAUAGAAGUGAAUUUUUUUAGAUAAUGAUAAUGGGUAGAGAGAAUAAAUUGGUGGUAUACUUGACAUUUUUGAUAUUUAAAUCCAAGACCUCUCACCAGUUAACUGAAAUAUGCACCAGAAGUGAAUUCACUGCCUUACAGAAGAACAUAUUUAUGUAAAAGGAGAGAUGCCAUGCAUUUCACAUAAGAUGCAUCAGUAUACUCCAUUUAAUUAUAGCUUUAACCUUUUCCUUGAGUAGACUCUUCCAUAACAUUUUGGAUUAGAUAUGACAUGUUUGAGUGAGAUGAUCCUCCUUCUUCCAUAGCCCUUCUACUCAUCUCACCAAUUUCUCUUGCUCUCGUUCUUCGCUUUUUUCCUUCUUCGCUCUCAUCCAUCAGCGAUUCUAUUGCCUGCUUCACUCCUCCUUUCUUCACCAACACCCCAACUUUCUCUUCAUCCCCCCACCUAACCGGGACUUCUACACCAACCCGAACCCCGAUCCUCAAAACUUCUACAAUCAUUUUUUCGUUGAAGAACUGCUCGGCAAACAGAGGCCAUGUAAUCAUUGGUACACCGGAACAUGCCCCUUCUAUCGUUGAGUUCCAACCACAGUGAGUUAAGAAUCCUCCAAUUGCAGGAUUGGAGAGUAUAAGAACUUGUGGAGCCCAACCCUUGAUCAGAAGACCUCUCCCUUUGAUCCUUUCCUCAAAUCUUUCCUCCACUAACCACUUCUCUAAUUCUAAAUACUUCUCACUUGUUUUGACUACCCAAAUAAAUGGCCACCCUGAUGCUUCUAAACCAAGUGCAAGCUCAAUCAGUUGUGUUGGAACUAGUCUGCAAAGGCUACCGAGACACGCGUAGAUAACCGACCUUGGUUUCAUUGAUUCGAGCCAUUCCAAGCAUUGCCUCUGAUCAAUUAAGGGUUUGUUGCCUCUAGAAAACCUGUCCAGAUUGCUCUUGUUGCACAAGGAAACCGGCCCGAUGCACCAAAGUUUUUUUCCAAGCACCUUGCUCAACUCUUCAGCACACCCAUGCUCCAGUUCAUCACAGCUAUUCACUACAACCCCAUAGGAUGUUAAUUCUGCUUCUUGUAUCUUGUCCCGAAAAUCAUUUAAAUCGGGCAGGGUAACAAAUUCUCCGGGCAGCUGAGCCUUAGUGAUCUCAAUCCUCUGGGGCAGCCCUGGUACCACAAAAGGUUCAGAGUCAGAGGUGACAGAAUUGUGAGCAUUGCAGGCUUUCACAUUGUGAGAGCUCAACAGUGAGAAGCAGCACAUCCCAUGGAAAACAAUCCUCGGAACAUUGAACUUCUGAGCUGUUUUCGAAGUCCACGAUAGGGCCUUGUCCGAGAUUAUGCAGCUGGGGUGAAGAUUAUGCUCGCGAAGGUAGUUUUCAACCGGUUCUUGUAGCAAACUUAGAGCCUUGUAGAAUUUUCUGAGCAGGUCUCUUGAGGGUAAAGUGUCAAGAUUCUCACACCCGAUUGGAAGUCCGACUGCUUGGCAUGGAAAUGGGAUUUCCACAAGGACAAUUGGAAGUUCAGAUUCUCUUGCUCUGGAAAUCGUGGUGUCGAAUCGCGAGGCAUUGUUUGGAGUAGUGACCAAGCUAACCAUUACCCCACGCUCUGCAAUAAGCCUAGCCAUGUCUACCAUGGGGAUCAUAUGGCCUUGUGCCAUGAGAGGGAUUAAGACAAAGUGAGGCUGCUUUUGCCUUGCUAGGGAAGCCAUAGUAGAGAAAAGAAAAUAUCGGUUUGCAGCUCUUAUCAGCUACCAAGAUUAAACAUAUAGAUGAUACAUUUGUAUUUCAAACGCUGGUUCAAUAUUUUGCAAAAUGUCUCCCAAUGUGAACUUGACUUUGAAUAAUUAUUAUACUAAGAUGUCAUAUCAUUUGUAGUCAAAUGCAAAAAGAAAACAAAUUAUGGGUUGAAUGAGUCAUAGUCACAGGCAAUUUCAUUACCCUACAUGUGUUCUUUUCUUUGUUUAUGUUUCUUUUAAUUACGUGUGAAACACUUUAGGAUCCAUUUGGAUGAAGCAAUUUUAAUGUUCAUAAAAGGUGUUUUUUUCUAUGUUUUUGUUUCUUUUGAUUAUGUGUGAAACACUUUAGGACCCAAUUAGAUGAAGCAGUUCUAAUGUCUGUAGUGUGUUCUUUUCCUAUGUUUUUGUUUUUUAUUUUAUUACGUGAAACAUUUUAGGACCUAUUUGGAUAAAACAAUUGUAAUGUACCGAGUGUAUUUUUUUUAAUAUAUUUUUGUUUAUUUUGAUUAAAUGUGAAACACUUUUAGAUCCAUAUGGACCAAACGAUUCUAAAUGAUUCCUUGCAUAUUGUCCUCACUUUCAAAUUCUUCCAUCCGAGUGGUGUAAGAUUAUGACGAGUGUUGCUUUUAUACCAACCAUCCAAAUCGUUUAAUGAUAAUCAUUUCAGACAAGCACCGAAACCCCUGCACUAAAUUGAGGGUUCUGAUUGGUUGUCCAGACUUCACAAGAGAGCAUAAUAUUCCCUCAUCAAUAUUAAGCUUCUUUAUUUUAUUAGGCGUAGUUCAAAAUUUCCAUCGACUGGCACUUGGAAUGUUCCAAUGUUUAGUAGUUUUGGUUAAUGAACUUCUCUACCUCUCAUCAACGUAAUCUAUUAAGGAAAAGAAAUGAAAAAUAAGAACAGCACAGAUACAGCCUGCCUUGGCCACGCCCAUAGAUUUUGCUUUUGCAUCUGAUAUAUUUUAGGCACAAAAUUUUAUACAACCGGUGCCUUCAAAAUGUGCCUUAGAAAAACUGUGUUAUAUACGCAAAGUUGUAUAAAAUUAGUGUCACAUACAAAUUAGUGUCAUGUAUUAUGUAUACAAGUAUAUUGUGUAAUUUUCACCUAUUAUCGCACAAGAAGUUCUAUUUUAUGAUCAUCCGCUUACAAGCAUCAUAGCCAAUUAAAUGAGACCAAAUAAAAGCAUCUUCAAUAAUAUAGACAAACGAAUAAAUAAACUUAUUUUUGUGAGCGACGUAAACAAAAACUUGCUCCAACAAUAUAUAUAAAAGUAAUUGAAUAGAUAAAUCCUCAAUCCAUCAAAGUAAUGAUAAAUAGAAAGAAAGACUAGGUCAAUUGCUAUCAUUUGUAAGAUGGGGUUGCUAUCAUGUAAAUUGUAUUUUGCUUGGAUGUACUUGCCCAAGGCACACUUGACUAUUGACCCGGAAAGACAGACUUGACUUUGAAGGAUUCUAACGCGUAUAAUAUGUUUAGAUAUACAUGCAAUAUGACUCAGCCCUUGUCUGGGUUUGGUUUCUGUCGACCCUUUGCGUACCGGCGGGGUUUCGAACAACCUUCAUUUCUACAGAAAAAUGUUUGCUUUCUAUUGAACUCUGGCUCACUGAUCUGUACGUUACGAUGUUAGAUUUUGUCCAGUUCAGUGAAAAGAAAGAGGGUUACUCACAUAAAUAACAAUUUAUGUUAUUUAUGCGAGUGGGUGAAUAACUUUAAACUCACACAAAUCUUGCAUCAAACACUAUAGAAAAGUGAGCAAUAGCUAUCAAAACUAGUAGUUGUUAUUAGGGUAACAAUAAUGUUUCUAGUGAGAAAUAUAUAUAUUUUAAUACAUAUUAGUUAGCAUUAUGGUGUAGCAGUUACUUACCUUUUGGCUUUUUGUCACGUUUUCUCAUUGGUAACAUUGUUUUUACCACAGUAGUAGAAAGGUGUUGUACUCUUACAUAACAGUGUGCAUUCAAAUAUCGUUGGUUGCUAAUCUAAUAUCUACCUUACUAGUGAUAUUGCUCAACUCAAUAAAAAAAAAAAAAAAAAAAAGAAACACAGCUAUGAAAAUAACUACUAAUUGCGGUAGCUAUUGCCCCGUCUUUUUGUAGUGAAACUAAAUUUUUAAAUAUUUUGACAGUUUAUUGAAUAGAAAGAUGUUUGGUUUAAAGAGUCUUGCUCUCGUCUAUACGUUAAUUAGCGGUUGAUAAUUUUGUGGGCCAACAACUUAAACUUAUAUAAGAUUAACCUAAUGCAUCUUGCAUUAAACAAUGACUUGAUACAACUUUGUUCAACAAAUUGACAAGAUAACUGCGCAUGUUAUUUUAUUUACUUAUUACGUGUUUCGAGGUUUUAUAUAUUCUUUGGUAUUUAACAACGCUGGUUUGUCAAUUCCUGAAAUUUUUUUCUUAUAUAUAGAAAACUUUUUUCAGUACAAAAAUUAAUAUGAAAGUACUUUUCUAUAAGUGUAGCAUAUUCUAUUGACCAAUAUAUGAACAAAUUGAACUUAUAUUAUUGUUUGCUGCACUCGCUUUUUUCAUGUAAGGAUAUUUCAAUAUUUUAGUGUGGCCCAUAGUAAGUGGUUCAUGUGUGAUAUAUUAAAUUAAAUUGAUAUUGUUUUGGAAGCAAUUUUAUUGGUCAAAGAGCUGCUAUUGCUGUUGCCUUGUACUCUACUUCGUGGUUGAUAAAGAUACUGUUGAUUGUCUCUUACUGCGCCAUGAAAUUAUUCGUAAAUCAGUUUGAUGGGAGCAUAUUUAUACAAUUUUAUUAUCUUAUUUCUUUGCAUUUACUUAGUUAAUUUCUAUUUAUUAUAGUAAUUUAAGUUAUUUUCAUAUUAUUGUAGGUCCAGUUGGUAAUGAUGGCAAUAAAUGGCAAAACUAGAAGAAAAAAGCUCAUCUACCACGGUGGAUGUCUAUGAUAAAUUACAAUCUACCACAGGCAUUAUGCCCGUUAGUAUUUUGGAUGUGAUAGAAAGUUUUGUUUCUACCACGAACUAUUCACGUUGUCAAAUGCAAUGUAACCACGGAUUGUGCUUGUGGUAGAUUGGGAUCUAACACCACGUGUUAUGGCCAUUGUGGAUUACAAAUUGAUCACGGUUAAUGCUCGUUAUAAAAAAAUUUCCAAAGUAAAAAAAAAAAAAAAAAAUUAUUUAAUAGAUAAAAAAAUAUAUAUAAAUAUACAAAAUUGCAAAUUUAAUUUUAUUAAAAUUCAUAUAUUAAAAUUCAUAUAUUAAUAUACCAAAUCACCAAAAUAUGUAGAGACUUUGCUUCACACUCUAAAACAAAACUCAAGUCCUAGUACCAAUCUUGGUCCUCCAAUGCUAUUCGUCUUCUCUGCAAUUUUUUCUUUAAGAAGACACACAUCUUCUGCAAGCCAAUCACAUUUUAAAUUUGCAGGUGGCUGUAAAUAUAGCUGAUAUUUGAGUUAUAAACCCUCAUGAAUUAGAACCACCAACCAUCUAUGAGACAAACAAGGAAAAAUAUAUAGCUUACAAAUCAGAACUCAUCACACAGGGCCCAUAGACCGACCUGUAAAAAAAAUUGAUUGCAAUAAUUCAAGGUUUUCCUUUUUUAUUUCGAACCACCUAGUCAUAGAUUGAGUUUCUUACUCGAAGAGUAUUGUGAUAUGAAAAAUAAUAGUCAAAAUCUAGAAGGAGAGACACAAAGAGACCUCAUGUAUUUGUCAAGCAUAUGAAGAUCAAUGUGGAUGUCUUCCUCUGUGUGUGUGUGAGAGCGAGCGAGGAGAGAGGAGAGUUUUCCAUGGGGCUUCCAUUACAGUAAUUAAGAACAAUCAAAACAUGCCACUCUAAAAUUUUAGGAGAAAUGAGAGUUUGCCACAAUAACCAUCGAGGUUUGGAGCUCUUGAGGUGAGAUCUUCCUAAGAAUAAACAUGCCACUCUAAAAUUUUAGGAAAUUGUGAACCAUGCAUGGCAUUGUGAAUAAGAAGAGUGUUUUGCUUUUCAAAACAUUAUGAUUGCGGCUUAAACUAUAUUGUAUCGUCCCUUGCAUGCUUUCUUUUGAUUAAGAACAAUCAAGGGCUGGAAUUUGUAACUUCAAGUGCCCUGAUAUUAAGUGUGGAACCCACAUAAAGAAAUUCCUUUUAUACUAUAAAAUGGGAAAGGCUUAAACAAUAACAUAGCAUGACUAACCACUUGUUGCCAGCUCUCUUGCAUCCCGAUCGUUAUGGCCUCUGGCUCCGAAUGCACCUAAAAGAAUUCAAAGGACAGACCAAACAAAAUGACCAUCCAAAUUUUACCAAAAAAAAAAAAAAAAAAAAACCAGGAAUAUAAGCAUAAUAAUCACCACAAAUACAAAUAAUUUGUCUUUUCUUGCUUACACCAUUUUUUAUAUUUGUCCCGACAUUUUUGUUACCUUGGUUCUCUCAUUUGAAACCUUGAGAACCAUGAGUCUUUUGCGAGAUUGGCUCCAUUACAUUCUGGAGUUUGUUCUUUUACUCAUAAUUAAUUUAAACAUAAUUAUGCAGGAACACCAAACUCCCAUUAUGCAAACCCAAUUUAGCAACCCAACAAUUUUCUUCAGCAAUUCAAUAAGUAGGGACAAUCAGAGACUUAAAAUUUUGAUUAGUCCCAAGACCAAAAAUAAGCAUAAAAAUCAAAGAAUUAAACUUGGCAAUAAUUUACUCACCAAUUGUAAUCAGAUUUCUCAUUCCCUAAAUUCAACAACUCAUCCACCCAGCUAUUCCGUUGCUGCGCCACAACUAGAAAUCCUAGCAGCUUCGCGAAUGUCAAUUAUGCAGAAACCAAACACAACCCAUCAUCAAGACAAAGCGAGCUCUUCCUCCCCCCCCCCCCCCGAUCUCGAGACAAAACAAGCUCUUCAUCUCUGUAGUUUAGGGUCGGAAAAUCGUCGACAUAAGCGAAUUGGAUGAGACCUGAUGGUUGAGGGCAUCUGCCUGAAAAUUGUAAAUAGGGUUUGAGAUCUGAAAUUUGGGCAUUUAUUAUUAUACUAGUUGAUUUAAAAAAUAAAAAAUUUAAAUUACAGAUAACAAUUACAGUCAGUCAUAAAUUAAAAAGGCGCUGUUGUUAAAACUUUUUGCGAUCACAGGCUUUCCUUGUGGUAAUAUUUAGCUAAAUUAGAACGGGCUAUAAACGCGCAUUGUUAUUUUAACCAUUUCAAUCACAGGUUUGUUUAUGCCCGUUGUUAUAAUAAUUAUUUACCACGAACUUCAAAUGUCCAUGGUUAAAUUUGACUUUUUAUAACAAACUUUAUACGUCUGUGGUCAAUUAGCCAUGGUAGAUGUAGUGUUGUGGCGUAGUGUGGAGAAAUUUAGAGUAGUUUUGGACUUGGAUUGGAUAGCAGACUGAUAGGAGCAUAUUUAUGCGCCUUAGUUAGCUAGUUCUUAUGCAUUUUUGUUAUGUUUUUUUCGUCAAAGUAGUCUUUUAAGCUACUUUCAUGUGUUUUCAGGGUUAAAGGACAUAUUACACGAAAUGAUGCAAUUUGGAGCUUUUGGAGCAAAAAGUGAGCUGGAAUGUGGUGUAUGCAAAUGGAGCACGAGGAAUGGACGAGUUUGAAGGUCAAAGAAGCUUAAGAAUGAAGAAAUGAAAGUGAUGAACUAAGAAUUCGGAAUUGGAAACCAAAGUUUCUAAAGUUGGAAGUUUCUAUUCUUGGAGGUUUCCAAUUUCGAGAGUUUCUAUUCUCGGCUUUGGGCUUUUGGAUGACCCAUCUUUGCCUCUUGGACCUAUGCCGCACCUAGGCCUUGUUCACAUGAAAAAAAUCUGAUUACUUACCCUAAGCCCAUGCCGCACCUAAUGUUCUAGAAACCCUAGUUUUUGGUGGAUUUCCUAACCCUAGCCGCACCUAAAACCCUAGCCCAUUUGUCUAACCUGAUUUCUUUAGGGUUUGGCUGCCUAUAUAUAUGUGUUUUUACCUCCCUUGGCCGAACACCACCCUCUCCAUAUUCAGAAAUUCGUCCAAAACCCUAUUUCCCAUCUUGCCGCACCUUUCCUUCAUUCCAGCCGAUUUCUACCACCAUUCUUCAUCUCCACACCUUCCACACAACACCCAUACACCAUCCCCAAGCCUUGCCGUGCCUUCCCACCACCAUCACCACCUUGUGCAGCCACCAUUGGAGGAGGAAGAAGUAGUGCCGUGCAUUCCAAAGGAGGAAGACACCUUGCACAUGCAAUCUGCCAUUAGUGGAGUGUUUGGAGUUCUUUCUUUCUUUGUUUCUGUUUUCAUGUUUAAUUUAAAUUGUUGUUCAAUUAUGUUAGACAUGUGGAACUAAUUUCUUUUUAGUUAGAGGUGAAUUUGAAGCCAUGGACAUAUGUUUUAUAUGAUUUGAUUUCUUCCAAUUAUGAUUUCAGAAAUUGUGAAUGUGAUUUACUUAUCUAUUUGAUUGAUAACUUGUUUAUGUAUGUGGGUUGAGGGUCGACACUUAAUUUGCAUGCCUAAACUUGAUGCUAGGAUAUAAGGGAAUUUCACCUAAUCGCUAUUAACUUGUAUUCAUAAGUAGUGAAAGUCGCUAGUCACGAUUGUGUUAAGUAAAUCCUAGGCAAGAAUAACAUGUGUAUCCCAUAGUUAUGAAUGCCUCGUCAAUGCUUAUGAUUUCCAUUAAACUUAAUGAUCUUUGAUAUGUGUCUCUAUCAUGCGUAUUCCAUAGUUAGGGUCCUUGAUAAGAAUAAUUUGGUUGUAAUGCGUAUUCCAUUCAAUUCAAUGAAUCUAGGGAAAUCUGAGAAUUAAUUGGUGCAAUCUAGUUAAUUUGGGGCAUUGUCAUUCAUGGUUUGUUGAAAGAGUAAUUGGACAUCGAGUUGUAUGCAUAUGUUCAUGUGUGGAUAAGGAACCCUCUAACUAGCUUCUCACCAUUCUAUUUAAUCACAAUAUGUGCUGCUUUACAUUUGUUUUUAAAGUCUGAGUUUUAAAGUUUUAAUUUCGUCAAAAUCAUUCCCCCAUUUAUUUUAAAGUGUUAGAUUAGUUAGAAAUCCAUUUAGUUGUGUUUUUAAGUGUUUUGAGUCAAGUUAUAGUCCAAAUUCGUCCAAACUAGUGUUAGGUACUCAAAACUGCCCAGAAAGUGGUUUUAAGGCAGUUUUGAGCCUUUUAGUUGCUGUUUUGAGUUUUUAGUUUGUUUAGGUGUUUUAAACCCUAGUUUUGCAUUAAUUGAGUCUAGUUUAGUGUUCUACAUUAUAUUUUUAUGUUCUUGAGUCAGUUUUACAUUGAUUAGCAUCCCUAGUUAAUCCCCGGUUAGAACGAUCCCCUAUUUGCUCAUAUACUACAAUUGUCAUCCAUAGGGUUUAAUUUGUGUGUCAACAUAAUUUUCACAUCAAAUUUUGGCGCCGUUGCCGGGGAUUAGCAAAAUUGCUAAUCCCUUGUGUUUUUUUUGCCGUGUGUUUUAGUAUAAUUUACCUAGUUUGCUUAUUUUGUUUUGUUUUCUUGGUUUAGGUACUAGUGCAUGACGCGGAGCUCUCAAACCGUGCACGCACACAUAUUGGAUUUCAACGACGAUUUUGAACGUGAUUUGAGAAGAAAGAGGAGGCAUCCCGAACCUAGUGAACCUAGUUCAAGUUCAGAGGCCGAAUCUGAGUUUGAAGAAGUGGAAGAAGAAGUUAUGGCAGUGGACAAUCGGACCAUUAAAGAGCUUUCGGCCUCGGGGUUGACAAAUGCCGCACCAUUAUGCAUUCAAUACCCCGCGGCUGCCCAAGGCAAGACCGAUGAAUUCGAGUUGAAGUCAAGCUUGUUGCACCACAUUCCGAAAUACCAUGGGCUUUCCAUGGAAGAUCCCAACAAGCAUCUCAAGGAGUUCGAGGUUGUUUGUUCGAGCAUGACACCCAUCAAUGUUGACGGGAGUAUUUUGAUGAUGAAGGCUUUUCCAUUCUCACUUUUGGAAAAGGCGAAAGAUUGGCUUUACGAGUUAGCACCCGGAACGGUUACAUCUUGGGAUAGUAUGAAAAGAGCGUUCUUGGAGAAGUUUUUCCCAACGUCAAGAGUCAUUCUCUUGAGGAAACGGAUUAGUGGCAUCCAACAAAACCCAGGUGAAUCGUUUCCUUCUUAUUAUGAACGUUUUAAAUCACUUGUUGCUUCUUGUCCACAGCAUCAAAUGAAGGAGGAGCUACUCAUUCAAUACUUCUACGAAGGACUCCUCCCCAUGGAACGCCAAAUGCUUGAUGCCUCGGCGGGAGGAGCGUUGGUGGAUAAGACUCCGGGGGCUGCAAAAGUUCUAAUUGCCAAUCGAGCACAUAAUGCACAACAAUACGAAGGUGUUGGACAAAGGGACCCCCCACGGCCACAAGUGAAUGAGGUAAGUUCUAUGCCCGAGAUUCAAUCCCAAUUAGCUAACCUUACUUCUAUUGUUCUCAGUUAGCCGAGGGAAUGAAGAUUCAUGGACCAAGUGUGUGUGGCGUGUGCUCGGUGCAAGGACAUGCCAAUGAUCAAUGCCCUCAAUUGAUUGAGAAUGGGGGUUGGGAAGCUGCCAAUGUCGUUGGUUUUGGGAACCAAAAUCAACCACGCCAUGAUCCAUACUCUAAUUCCUACAAUCCGGGGUGGAGAGACCAUCCAAAUUUCAAAUGGCGGGAUCCUCAACAACCCCAACAACAAGGAGGAUUUAGGCAGCAACCACCGGGCUUUUAUACAAAGCCAUUCGUCCCCAAUCAAAACCAAGUGCAAUCUGCCCCACCAACCUCAGGUACGUCUUUGGAUAAUGAUCAAGUUGUUAAGUUACUUACUACUUUGACGCAGGAAGUACAAACUCAAAAUAAGGAGAGACAAAUCCAAGACAAACGGGUGGAUAAUUUGGAGAAGCAAAUGGGUCAAAUUGCCGAAUUCAUGGGGCAAAUUAGAGAACAAGGCAGAUUGCCUAGUUCAACCGUUGUGAACCCGAAGGGAGGAUUUGAAACCGCUAAGGCCAUCAUGUUGAGAAGUGGUAAACAGGUUGGAACGGACUCAAAUACAUCCAAAUCGAGUCAAGAAGAGGAGGACAGGUUGCUGCAAGAAGAAGCACAGGGAGCAAAGCCCACGGCCAAGGAUGACCAAACCUUGCCGCCACCCUCUAACCCUCCUAAAUCGUCCUCAACCACCAAGGUAAGUCCAAAUUCAACUUUUUCUAGUUCUAUUCCACUGAAUGUGCCCUUUCCUGGCAGGUUUAGGCAAUCAAAGAAGGAAGAACCCGAGAAGGACAUUCUAGAGACCUUUCGGAAAGUUCAAGUCAAUAUCCCGCUCCUUGAUGCGAUUAAGCAAGUCCCGAGGUAUGCUAAGUUCUUAAAAGAACUUUGUACAACAAGGAGAAGGAUUUCGAACAAAGAGGUGGUCCAAGUAAGUGAAAACGUCUCUGCUGUGUUACAAAGGAAAUUACCCCCUAAAUGCAAAGAUCCGGGUAGUUUUACAAUUCCAUGCGUUAUUGGUAAUACUAAGUUUGAACAAUGCAUGUUAGACUUAGGGGCUUCGAUUAAUGUUAUGCCAUACUCAAUUUAUGCAUCUAUGAACUUAGGUGAGCUUAAAAAUGAUGGUGUGAUAAUUCAAUUAGCCGAUCGUUCUAAUGCAUACCCAAAGGGUGUUUUUUUGGAAGAUGUUUUGGUGCAGGUUGGUAAUUUGAUUUUUUCCAGCGGACUUUUACGUGCUUGACAUGGAGGAUUCACCCCAUUCUACCCCAUUGCCGAUUCUAUUAGGGAGGCCCUUCAUGAAAACAGCCCGCACCAAGAUAGAUGUGUUUAAAGGAACUUUAACGAUGGAAUUUGAUGGGGAAGUCAUUGAUUUUAAUCUUUCUGAAAGUAUUAAAUUUCCUAAGGACGAUCAUUCUUGCUUUUCUAUUGAUAUAAUUGAUGAUUUGGCGCAGGAUUUUCUCGAUUGUUUGGAGAGGGAUACACUUGAAACAACAAUUGCACAAGGAAUUGGGCACAAAAAUGGUGUUGCCGUGCCUAGAAGUGAGGAUGAGGCCGAGAUAGUGGCUGCCCUUGAGUCACUCCCUCAACACCAUGGUAAGCCUUCUAACCCAAUUUCAAUUCCAGUUUCCACUAAUAAGAUGUUACCCUCAGUGAUUCAGGCACCCGUACUUGAGCUUAAACCGUUACCCGAUCAUUUAAAGUACGUUUUUCUGGGAGACAACGAGACAUUGCCCGUCAUUGUCUCUUCAUCACUCACGGCCAUAGAGGAGGAGAAGUUGAUCCGAGUGUUGAAAGAGCACAAGACGGCCAUUGGGUGGACUUUGGCCGAUAUUAGGGGAAUUAGCCCAACUACGUGCAUGCAUCGCAUACUUCUAGAGGAUGGGGCUAAACCAACUCGAGAGGCUUAGCGCCGUCUCAACCCUCCAAUGAUGGAAGUUGUGAAAAAGGAGAUUAUCAAACUUCUUGAUUGUGGAGUGAUUUAUCCGAUCUCUGAUAGUCGUUGGGUGUCACCGGUGCGAUGUGUUCCAAAGAAGUCCGGAGUGACCGUGGUGAAGAAUGCCGAGAAUGAGCUUGUGCCAACCCGUAUCCAAACAGGUUGGCGAGUGUGCAUUGAUUAUAGGAAGCUCAACGCCACCACAAGGAAGGACCACGUCCCUUUGCCGUUCAUUGAUCAAAUGCUUGAAAGGUUAGCCGGUCAUUCUUUUUAUUGUUUCCUUGGUGGUUAUUCUGGAUAUAAUCAGAUUGUCAUAGCGCCGGAUGACCAAGAAAAGACAACUUUCACAUGCCCCUUUGGUACUUUUGCUUAUCGUCGCAUGCCUUUUGGUUUAUGCAAUGCUCCGGCCACAUUUCAAAAGUGUAUGGUAAGUAUCUUUUCAGAUUUUGUGGAAAAGAUUAUUGAGGUAUUUAUGGAUGAUUUCAGUGUGUUUGGUGAUUCAUUUGAUGGAUGUUUGGAAAAUCUCACAAUAAUUUUGAAAACGAUGUGUAGAAACUAACCUAGUGCUUAAUUGGGAAAAAAUGUCACUUUAUGGUUAGACAAGGCAUAGUUCUAGGGCAUAUUGUUUCAGAAAGAGGAAUUGAAGUGGAUAAAUCGAAAAUAGAUCUUGUACGCUAUUUACCCUCUCCUACUUCGGUUCGAGAGGUUCGUUCGUUUCUUGGUCAUGCAGGAUUUUAUAGGCGAUUUAUCAAGGACUUCUCCAAGAUCUCAAACCCUCUUUGCCGUCUCCUCCAGAAAGAUGUGGCGUUUGACUUCAACAAGGAGUGUGAGAAGGCGUUCAAUCACCUAAAGGACAUGCUAACUUCGGCCCCUAUCAUAGUUCCACCGGAUUGGAGCCUUCCUUUUAAGCUUAUGUGCGACGCUUCCGAUUAUGCAUUAGGAGCUGUUUUGGGGCAAAGGAAGGACAAGAGGCCGCAUGCUAUCUAUUAUGCCUCUCGGACUUUAAAUGAUGCACAAUUGAAUUAUUCCACCACUGAAAAAGAACUUCUAGCUGUUGUAUUUGCUUUAGAUAAAUUCCGUUCUUAUUUGCUUGGUACUAAAGUUAUUAUUUAUACUGACCAUGCAGCAUUGAAGUAUUUGUUCACCAAGAAGGAGGCCAAACCACGACUCAUUCGUUGGAUGCUUCUUCUCCAAGAGUUCGAUAUCGAAAUCCGGGACAAGAAGGGAAGUGAAAACGUGGUGGCUGACCACUUGAGCCGUAUGGUGCAUGAGGAGGAUGCCGUGCCUAUCAUAGAGACAUUCCCAGAUGAGCAACUGAUGUCCAUCAAGGUAAGUGAACCAUGGUAUGCUGAUUUGGUGAAUUAUUUGGUGUCUAAACAUGUUCCUAGUGAAUUACUUAAACACCAAGGUGAUAAAUUGAAGAAAGAGGCACGGUUUUAUGUGUGGGAUGACCCGUAUUUAUGGAAAUAUUGCCCUGACCAAGUUAUACGUAGGUGUGUGCACGAUUCUGAGUUUAAUGCUAUUCUAACAUUUUGUCACACUUAUGCUUGUGGGGGACACUUUGGCACUAAUAGAACAGCACUUAAGGUAUUAGAAUGUGGUUUCUAUUGGCCUACCAUCUUUAGGGAUGCUAGAACAUUUUGCAUGUCUUGUGAUAGAUGCCAAAGAACGGGCAAUAUAGGUCCUAAACAACAAAUGCCGCAAACCCCCAUUUUUAGUGUUGAAAUAUUUGAUGUUUGGGGUAUUGAUUUUAUGGGUCCCUUUCCUUCGUCACAUGGAUUUCUUUAUAUAUUACUUGCUGUGGAUUAUGUGUCGAAGUGGGUGGAAGCAAAAGCCACCCGAACUAAUGAUUCUCGAGUGGUUGCAGAUUUUGUGAAAACUAACAUUUUUGCAAGGUUCGGAAUGCCACGAGUGCUCAUUAGUGAUGGAGGUUCCCAUUUUUGUAAUCGAACCAUCGAGGCGUUGCUCAAGAAAUACAAUGUCACGCAUAAGGUGGCCACACCUUAUCAUCCUCAAACGAGCGGGCAAGCCGAGGUUUCGAAUAGGGAAAUCAAGCAAAUUCUUGAGAAGACCGUGGGGCCUACGAGGAAGGAUUGGAGUUUGCGCUUAAACGAUGCAUUGUGGGCGUAUCGCACUACUUACAAAACCCCCAUUGGGAUGUCACAUUUUCGGCUCAUCUAUGGGAAGCCAUGCCAUCUUCCCGUCGAGUUAGAGCAUCGUGCACACUGGGCCGUCAAAACGUUUAACAUGGACCUUGAUGCCGCAGGUUUACAUAGGAAGCUCCAAUUGUGUGAACUUGAGGAAAUCCGAAAUGAAGCAUAUGAGAAUGCCCGGAUUUACAAGGAGAAAACGAAGGCAUUCCAUGACAAGAUGAUUCGUGCCAAGACGUUCUCUAUUGGGCAGAAAGUGUUGUUGUUCAAUUCUCGCCUUCGGUUGUUUCCGGGUAAGUUGCGUUCCAAAUGGGUUGGUCCUUUUAUUGUAACUAAUGUUUUCCCUCAUGGUGCAGUGCAAAUCAAGAGUGCAAGGACGCAACAAGAAUUCAAAGUGAAUGGGCAUCGAUUGAAGCCCUAUUACGAGAUGUUUGAGGAGCAUGUCGUGGAGGAGGUACCCCUCCAUGCCGUGGCACAUAGUCAAGCUUAAACGGAGGUACCGUCCGGCUGGAAGACGUUAAAGCAAGCGCUUCGUGGGAGGCAACCCAUGCAUUUGACAAAGGAAGACCUAGAGAGCACUCCAAUUCCAGAUUUGCGUUUCUAAACCCUUCUCUUUGUUGUUUCUUUCGUUUCUGCCAUGUUUAGUUUGUUAGUAUUGGUUUGUUUGUUUAUGUGUUUUUGUGUGAGUCUAUGCUUGAAACAUUGAGGACAAUGUUUGGUUUAAGUGUGGGGGGGGUAACCAAAGUGUUUUGAUGCAAAUUCGUAGGGUUUUCUCACUCAUAAUUUCCAAUGUUGUUUCUUGCUGUUUUUAGGUGUUUUUAGGCUGUUUUGGUGUGUUUUAAUGUGUUUUGAUUCAAAAAUCCGAAAAUCCCAUAAAAAUUUGAAAAUUUGUUUUAAAAAAAACCCAAAAAGAGUCGUUUUUAAGUUAUUUUUGUGUGUUUGUUUGUGUCUUAGGGUACCUUCCAACACAAUGAUGAGGAUUUGGUUUUUAAUUGCAUGACUAUUGAAGAGAGUUAUAAACAUGGAUGGAAGUUUGAUUUACUCUUGGUUUAUGCUUAGUUGUAGUUAUAACUUAUGAAUUCACAUGUAAUCAAAAAGAAAAAAAUCAGUUUUUGUGACAUGCUUGAAGGAAGAAACUCAAACUAAAGCUACAACCCUGAGAGACUUGAGCCUAAACUUUAUUUGGAGAGUUGAAAUCUGUGCAUUCUUGUUUUCUAAAGUCGUUGCAUGAUCUCAUUAUUCUUUGCUUGGUUACUACUUAGAAGGUGUUUCAUCAUUUAGUUCCAAAUGCUAGAACUCAUGCCAAUUUCAUUCAAAACAUUUCAUUGAAUUGCAUAACACAUAUUCGAGAAGAAGUUGUUUAGUAGUUGCCACCAUAUCCAAAAAGCCUUCAUUCCAUACAUUGUUUUUGUAGGUUUAACCCCGUUGAGCCUUAUUUAGCCUAUAUUGUUUGUUAACCCACAUUAUCCUUACCUAGCCUAGAUUAGGACCAUCCAUACCCUUGUUCUUGAAGCAUAGUAAGCAUGACUUAAAAUGAAUUCCUUUUGAUUGAGGGUGUGCAGAGAACAAGUGUGGGGGAGUGAUUUUUGAUAGGUGGAUGUGCCAAAGUCUCUUUUGAGGCACGAGAAAAAAAAAAUAAGAAAAAAAAAGAAAAAAAAAAGAAAGAAAAUUCGUAGAAAAAAAAAAGAGAAAAAAAAAGAAAAAUGUUGAGAAAAGUGUGAAAAAGAGUUGAAAGAGCAUGGAAAUGAGCUCUAAGGUGUUGGUUGUUGAAGAGGGGGUCCAAAACAUUGAAUUUGACCCCAAGUGUUGCAUGAAUUUCCCCUUUGAGUUAAAAGUUGAUUUUUGCAUUCAAAAGUGAAUUCUAAGUGUCAAUUUCAUUGCUUUGCUUACUAUUGUUUAAGAACGUUUGUUUAUCCUUCACCUUUCUUUGUUAACCAAUACCCCAAGCCCCGUUACAACCCUUAACUUCUAUCUUGAGUGUUGUGUAUUUCAAUUUAUGGAGUUUGGGAUUGGUAUGAGCAUAUGGUGUCACUGGUUCUCGCAUCUAAGUAGUAGCAUUCCUUUCAUGAGAUCAUAUACAUGCUUAUUAAAUUCAGAAAAAGCUUUCCUUGUUAUAACAUAUGUGAGCAUUCGUUUUCAUAUUUACAUCAAUCUUCUCACAUAUAACUAGUAUAGGGUGUGUAGUCAGAAAAUCUAUGUGAAAAUUGAGUGCAUAUCUAGUAAGGAAUUGAGCAAAUUCUCUAAGGCAUGUUACUACAUUCAAAAUCAUGUUUUAAUUGGUUAAAUGUGAACUAGUACGUGGUGGCUUUAAUUAAGUAUAUGCUUGUGUAAAGAUGACUAAAAUCUGUGGGGAUAACAAUCUUUAACAUGUCAUGUGCAUUGGAAAUCCCUGAGGCAAACGUUGGAAGGUUUAGGUUGUGUUUUGGUUAGUUUGUUUCGUUUUGUUUUCCUUCUUUUGUUUGUUUUGCUCGAGGACUAGCAAAAGCUAAGUGUGGGGGAAUUUGAUAGGAGCAUAUUUAUGCGCCUUAGUUAGCUAGUUCUUAUGCAUUUUUGUUAUGUUUUCUUCGUCAAAGUAGUCUUUUAAGCUACUUUCAUGUGUUUUCAGGGUUAAAGGACAUAUUACACGAAAUGAUGCAAUUUGGAGCUUUUGGAGCAAAAAGUGAGCUGGAAUGUGGUGUAUGCAAAUGGAGCACGAGGAAUGGAUGAGUUUGAAGGUCAAAGAAGCUUAAGAAUGAAGAAAUGAAAGUGAUGAACUAAGAAUUCGGAAUUGGAAACCAAAGUUUCUAAAGUUGGAAGUUUCUAUUCUUGGAGGUUUCCAAUUUCGAGAGUUUCUAUUCUCGGCUUUGGGCUUUUGGAUGACCCAUCUUUGCCUCUUGGACCUAUGCUGCACCUAACCCUAACCCUAGCCCACUUAAUCAGCCGCACCUAGGCCUUGUUCACAUGAAAAAAAUCUGAUUACUUACCCUAAGCCCAUGCCGCACCUAAUGUUCUAGAAACCCUAGUUUUUGGUGGAUUUCCUAACCCUAGCCGCACCUAAACCCUAGCCCAUUUGUCUAACCUGAUUUCUUUAGGGUUUGGCUGCCUAUAUAUAUGUGUUUUACCUCCCUUGGCCGAACACCACCCUCUCCAUAUUCAGAAAUUCGUCCAAAACCCUAUUUCCCAUCUUGCCGCACCUUUCCUUCAUUCCAGCCGAUUUCUACCACCAUUCUUCAUCUCCACACCUUCCACACAACACCCAUACACCAUCCCCAAGCCUUGCCGUGCCUUCCCACCACCAUCACCACCUUGUGCAGCCACCAUUGGAGGAGGAAGAAGUAGUGCCGUGCAUUCCAAAGGAGGAAGACACCUUGCACAUGCAAUCUGCCAUUAGUGGAGUGUUUGGAGUUCUUUCUUUCUUUGUUUCUGUUUUCAUGUUUAAUUUAAAUUGUUGUUCAAUUAUGUUAGACAUGUGGAACUAAUUUCUUUUUAGUUAGAGGUGAAUUUGAAGCCAUGGACAUAUGUUUUAUAUGAUUUGAUUUCUUCCAAUUAUGAUUUCAGAAAUUGUGAAUGUGAUUUACUUAUCUAUUUGAUUGAUAACUUGUUUAUGUAUGUGGGUUGAGGGUCGACACUUAAUUUGCAUGCCUAAACUUGAUGCUAGGAUAUAAGGGAAUUUCACCUAAUCGCUAUUAACUUGUAUUCAUAAGUAGUGAAA
This 46807-nucleotide long non-coding RNA is filed under the name Malus domestica (apple). RNAcentral's name for it is "long non-coding RNA (MDOM_LNC020566)". The record is from RNAcentral. Lineage: Eukaryota; Viridiplantae; Streptophyta; Magnoliopsida; Rosales; Rosaceae.